This 80670-nucleotide long non-coding RNA is filed under the name Medicago truncatula (barrel medic). Its description in RNAcentral is "long non-coding RNA (MTRU_LNC006504)". The record is from RNAcentral. Lineage: Eukaryota; Viridiplantae; Streptophyta; Magnoliopsida; Fabales; Fabaceae.
UUUGUUUUGAUCUGCUUGAAGAAUAUAUUGUACAACUCACUUGAUUGAUACUAUAAUUCUCUUUUAUGUAAUAUUUUAACGUGUGGGCCCUUAUUCUUUCGACAUUUUUGCAAAAUAUGUCUCAUUGAACAGUUCUAGGAAAGUAAAUCUGUGGCAUUCGUAGACCAAUUCUCCCGUUUGUAUCAUAACUUCUAAUGUAAGCAAGUACAUGUAUUUGAUUUUCUCUGUUGUGCUUAUAUGCAUUAGCUAUUUUCAACUUUGAACCCCAAUAUCUAUAGAACACAAUUAUUAUUAUUGUUCCUAUUAUUUACUCAUCUUUAGCUACGAGUUUUUAAACUUAUUUUAGAUACAUCAUGGAGCUUAAAAAUUAUCUUAUUUUGAUGUGAUGUGUUUGAUAUUUUAGGUUUAUAAUAUACUUACCAAUCUUAUCUUAAAUUUUCCCGUGCAUCCUGUUUAACGUCGUGUAUGAAGAAAUAUUCCGAAAUGUGUAAUACCCCUAUUAUGCAUUUUGUUGUAACAUUCUUGGUUGACGAUAUGAUAUUUCACCAAACAAUAAUUUUAUGACUCUGAUCAUUGUUCUUUACGUAGUUUAUUUUAAGUUCCAUUCCAAAAUAUUAUGUUUUACUUAGUAUCAAAAUAUUUCAGCUCAUAAGACCCGUGCGGCGCACGGGUCGGAGAUCUAGUAUGUUUUUAAAGAGUAACAAUAUAUUAAAAGAGCUUAAUACCUAAUUGCAAGUUAAAGGAUAUAAGAUUAAUAAGUAUAAUAAGGGAAUGAAUAAUUUUGAAAGGGAGAAGAGCACUUUUUUUGAUAUAUUUUGUAUCCACUCACUUUUGUGGAUGACAUUGGCCCUACAUUUAAAUGAACCCCUCCAAACUUAAGAAAGUUACUAUCAUUGUUACGAAUCACGAUAGAGAUAGUCUAUUUUUUUAAAUGAUAAACAUUAAUAUGUUAAUUGUUAGUUAUGUUAGUUUUUUCUUUUUGUCAGGACUUGAAUCAUAAAUCUUUAACUUUAACUCAAACCGGUUGAAUUACCCAACCCCCGAGAAAUUUUAAAUAUUAAUCAUAGUAGUGUGAGCAAUAAAGUAUAUGAUUAGCCAUAGCCUAAAAUUUGUCACAUUCACACAAUUAACACAUUCAUGAUCGUUGAUAGAGACCGGUCCAUAUUUUAAGCUAAAUUAAAAAAAAAAAAUAUAUGUAUGAAAUUUCGAUUGUAUGAUCUCGAGAAAAUCAAAAUAUGUUUGAAAUUUAGAUUGUUCGAUUAACUAUCAAAUAUAUAGAUAAUUAAAAAAAUAAGCGUGGUUUAAUUAAGAAAUUAGAAGCAAUCAUAUUCCCCCAAACUGUAUUGAGGUUGUUCAUUGCAUUAAUAUUCAGCAUAUUCUCUAAAUUACAGGUAGAAUAGCAAAAACCUUCUUAAUGAAAAGUAAAUAAAUUCCAAAAUAAAAGGAAAAGAAUAUACUGGUAAAGAGCAACCGUGGAAGUAUCACAGAGGGAGAAUAAGUUGGCAUAACCAUUUUCUUAACUUUGUGUUAAACUAUAAAAAGUUAUGCUCCACUUAGCAGAAGUUGCAUGAAGUUAAUCCAUUUUUUUAUUUUGUGAGUUCCCAAUCAUCCCUGGCCUCACUACCCUAUUUUUGUGUAAAUAAUUGUUUUGUUAUCGUAAAGAAAUUCUUAGUGGGAAUUUCCUUUUUAGGAUUAUUCAGUUUUUGCUUACUACACUAUAGCUUCCUUUACUUUUUCCUAAAAUCCCUUCCGUACCUCCACCCCACAAUCCACAAAAGCACACAUUUGGCCCUAAUUGUCCGAAUAUUUUAUUAAUUAUUUUAUUUAAUUAUAUUAGCUGUUUAUUAAUUAAGAGUUUUAAUUGAUUUGUGAUUAUAUUAUUAUUAAAAAAAAUUGAUUUGUGAUCAUAUUAAGUAAUUAGGCUAAUUAAAAUUCUAUUUGUUAAUCAAUUUUUUUGGUAGAUAUGACAAAUACCAUUGAAAUUCACAAACAUAUAAGUAGAGGAGCCGAUGUUUGAACUCUGAUCACAACGUCUGACCUAACAAUUUCAACAUUUUUACCAGUUAAGUUAAGAUUUAUGCGCGGUUAAUUAAUUGAAAUGAGUUCAAAUAUGAGUGAAUGUGAGUAUGCCCCAUUUUGUAGAAAUGAGAAUCCUAAUUAACCAUUACACUAUAUGUAGGCUAUGAUCUCCAAUAUAUUAUAUCGAACAUAUUGCAUAUUGCCAAUUCUCUCCAUUUGAAGGGUGUCUAAGACAAAAAAUAAGUACAUGUUAAGGAAGAAUCACAAGUCAACAACUUCUUGUCUCUCGUUUUCUAUGUUUCAUGAGUAUUAGAGAGGCUACAAUCAGUUCAUCCAUCGUAGUAUUCCUAAUAUCUUUAACAAACCAACAUGUCGUAGAUCCUAAAGUUAUCAUGAUUUUAUGUUUGUUCGGUUCUUGAUGUUUAUAACAUGCUUGUUUUACUAUUAAUUUUCCACAAUAUAGUAAGUAGAAAACAUACCUUUAAUGAUUAAUUAUUGAAUAAGUUCUAACAAUUACUUUAUAACUUCACCACAAACUUUCUCCGGACAUAAAGAGAUUUGUAUCAUCUCAUUUUAGCACUUUGAUCAGGUUAAUUAUUGAUAAGAUUAAACUUUUUUUGCAGUUUUUUAUUUGUAUUGCUUUUGUAUAAACUUGAAAACAUAUUGUAACGUGACAAGUUUCAGUCUUUUAAAACUUUUAUUAUUUGUACCCAAAAAAGGUGAAAGAGAAUAAGUGGGAAAAGAAAGAAGAAGAAGCAAGAAGUGCGCACUGAUCUAGCUGGUGUUGGUCUAGGAACUUAAUUAAGUGGUAAUUGGUUGAAAAUAAAUCAUUGUUUAAAGAGGUUAAUUUAAAGAAGAUGCCACCUUUUAGGCCUCUUAUAUUGCUAGGGGAAUCGUGGCCUCUAUCAAUGAACACAAUAACAUUGGUACGCAACUCAUUAUAUUACUCUUUUCUAUACUUUCUUUUCCGGUAGAUGUAGAAUAAAACGUUACGUGGGUUACGUUCAUUGGGCAGUCUCAUGUCAUUGUGGAGCUCAUAAUAUAUAUAGGUUUAUGGAGUAUAUGAUGGAAUAAUGUUAGAUUUUAGUGUAAGUUGUUAGUCUAUUUUCCCAAAAAGAAAUGAUAAAGUUUAUAGUCUCACAUUAAUCAUGAAUGAGUUAAAUUAAUAUUGAAUAUAUAAGAGAGACAAUUAAUUUUAAAUGGGAAUUAGAAUGUCAUUUUGUUGUUUGGGUCGGAAAGUAAACCCUACCCUCCUCGUUCAAAACCUCACCUAAAAUUAAACUUUUGAAGAGAGGUAAUUUCGUCGAUAAAAACAAAAGGAUGAUUUUCAAGAGCGGUGAAAAAAAAGAAACUCUCUAAACAUUAUGGGUUCCAAAACCACAAAAAAGUUAAAGGUUUUAUUUUAGGGCAUAUAUGUCUUGUAUAAAAUUGCACCACUAACCAUGAAGUAAAGUUGCAAUCAAUAUGUAAAGUUUCUUGAAUGAAUUAUAGUGAGGACAAAACUUGUCAUCACAAAAUAAACAAAGAUUUUCAUACACCCACUUCUAUAUUUUAGAUUGAAAUGAAAUCAUUCGGCUAUAGAAAUUAUUGGAGUUCAAUAUUCUAUUUUAUAUUUCGUUCUAUCUCCUUAAUGAUCAAUCAUGUUUCUUGAAUACUCGAAAACUUUAUGUUAUUUAAUAUUUUAUUAGAACAAAGUGGUCAUAAAAUCUAGCCUGGAGAAUUUGUUGAAUGUGCUCAUGGCGUAAUCACACUGCUAAGAACAGUAUAGUGAGUACUUAUCCAAUUGAAUGGGGUUGGUGGGUCCUUCAUUUGUUCGUUUGUCUGAAUAAUUGGACUUGCACAAAAUUGUUAAAUAUGCAUUAUUAUAUUAUAUAUGCUAUUACUGUUUAUUUUUUCAUAGCAACUAGCACAAUUGCACGAACACUCUUUUUUUUUUUUUUACACAAUAAACGCUCUUUUAUUUUCCAUCCAUUUUGGAAAUUCUUUCUUGGCAUUUCAUUUGGAAAGCAUGUCUAAUCUUUUCAUCUUAGUUUCCUUUUUUUUUUUUUUUUGGCUUAAUUGCACUUUUCCCCUAUCUUUUGUUAAUUGUGCGAUUUUGCACCCCCUCUUUUUUUUGAGCGAUUUUGCACCCUAUCUUUUGCAAACUGUGUUUUGUUCAAAAUUAUCAUUAAAAGAGGGGAAAAGGGGCAAAAGAUAGGGUGCAAAAUCGCUCAAAAAAUAUAAGUGAGGGUGCAAAAUCGUACAAUUAGCAAAAAGAUAAGGGACAAAAGUGCAAUUGAACACAAAGAUGAGGUGCAAAAUCAGAAAAGGGGCAAAAAGAUGGGGUGCAAAAUCACUCAAAAAAAAAAAAGAGGAGAUGCAAAAUCGUACAAUUGACUUGGCUUUUUUGUUUCUUUUGCAAUUUUUUUAUUCCAUUUGAAUUUUUUUAUUAAAAACUUAAUUGAUUUUUUUAUUUAUUUCUUUUCAUCUUCAUCUUCUUCUUCACUCUCUCUUUUCAAUCUCCUUCUACCAUCUUUUUUCCAGCAACACAACAUCACACAACACAACAUCAACACAACAAUCUCUUCUUCUCUUCUUUCCUGGUUGUUCCAAUCCAUCCCCUUCUCAUCAAUUUUCAAUUUUUGGAUCAAUCAUCAACAACACAACAACAACGCAUCAACAACACAAUAACAACAACACAAAAUUCUUCUUUAACCCAAUUCCAAAAGAGAAAAACAAAAUCAAAUGGAAUUUAAAUCGGAAACAACAACUUCAACGUAAAACAACAACAACUUCUUUAAAAACAAAUCAUCAAAUCAAAAAUCAACCCAGAUUGCUUCCUCUUCCAAUAAAAAAUCAAACCCAAGUGGUUAAAAAUCAAUUCCAUGUAUGAAGAAUCAAAAACCCAGAUUCAAAAAUCCUCUCUUUCAAAAUUCGAAAAUUCUCUCUUUCAAUUUCUUGAUUGUGUUCUUGUGUUGCUGUUUCUUGAUUGGAGGGAUGGAGGGUAUGAUUUGGUGAAAAGAAAUAGAGAGAAGAGAAAAGAGAAAAGAGAAGAGAAGGAAGAAGAAAAGGAAUAACAAAAAGAGAGAAGGUGGGAGAGAAUAGAAGGAAGAAGAGAAUAGAGAAGAGAAUGAUGAAGAUAAUAGAAGGAAGAAGAAAAGAAAGAAGAUAAACAGAGAAGGUGGGAGGGAAGAGAAGGAAGAAGAAAAGGAAGAAGAGAGAAGGGGAUUUACGUUGGAGAAGAAGAGAGAAAAAGAAAUGGGAUUUUUUUUUUUUUAAUUUACCAUUAAGGGUAUUUUAUCUUUUUAACAUAAUUUUAAAAAUAAAAAAUAAAAAAUUAUGACGUGUUAGGGCCAUUUUACCCAUUACUACAGAGUCAGCGUGCCACAUCAGCUUAUUAAUCCAGUCAGAUGACAUUAAAUUAAAGAAUCUUCAUUUUACAAAGGGGAAUCUUCAAGUUUUUUUUUAUAGGAAAUAUACCAAAAGACCCCCAAAUAGCAGGGGUAAAAGUCUAUUAACCCAUUUGUUUUUAUCUCAUUCUCAUCAUGCAUUAAUUUUCGUUAGUGCAUGCAUUAAUAUUCGUUAGUGCGCUCACACCUUGUUUUUUUCCUUCACUUUAAAACCAAAACAAACCAAACUCAUUUUUUUCUUGAACUCAAACAUCAUGGUACACAACAGGUCUCUUGUCUAUGACAACAUGGAUAAUGCUUGCUUUCCUUCUCCACACCUUGAUGCUUUUCCAGCUGGUCUACGAGUACUCGUUGUUGAUGAUGAUCUAACUUGCCUCAGAAUCCUUGAAAAAAUGCUCAAAAAAUGCUUUUACCGAGGUUUCUUUCUUUCAUUCAUAUUCACUCUGCUUCUUCUUCCAUGUGCUAAAAGUGGUAUAUGUGUGUAAUUGAAUUAAUAAUCUCAACAAAUGCCAAUAAGUUCAGUAGAAUUCAACUUUAAGAAAACAAGCAUUUGGCCAAUCCACAUUUUUGUUGGCUUCUAAUUUCCAAUUCCUUUUUUUUUUCAAAGAAAAAAAAGAAUCUUGUUACUUUUUCAUUUAAGAUAAUUUUGCAGUAUCCAAUAAUUCUAGCUAGGAUGAGAUGAUAGUACUGGUCUCUUUUAACUUAAUUAACCAAGGUGUUUAAAUUGACACUCAUAACAACAUUAAAAGGUAUUGAGGAAGAGUUUUGUGCCUCAUGUGUCUUACUUGGUUCGAGAUAUUAGUCUUAAUAGUCUUAUAUUCAUCUUCAUCUUCUAACACUUAUCUAUCUUGUGCUCUCAGUGACCACAUGUUGCUUAGCAAUAGAGGCUCUUAAGAAGCUCCGCGAAAGUAAAGGUACAUAUGACAUAGUGAUCAGCGAUGUAAACAUGCCUGACAUGGAUGGUUUCAAACUUCUUGAACAUGUUGGACUUGAGAUGGAUCUUCCUGUCAUUAGUACGUUCUUUUAUUCAUAACUUUUUUUUCCUUCAAAUUAUGUGUAACAUUCCUCUCGCAGCUCUUUUUUCCGGACCAGUCAGUACCUACAAGUAACAUUCUUGGUCCGAAAAAAGAUGGACGAGGGGGUGUUACAAUAUAUAUACAUAGUAUUUUGAUUUUAUUGACUAAAAUUCCAUGAUAUUUCUAACAACACUUGAUAAUGUUAUGUAGUGAUGUCUGUUGAUGGAGAAACAAGCAGGGUGAUGAAAGGUGUUCAACAUGGAGCAUGUGAUUAUUUGCUUAAGCCUAUAAGGAUGAAAGAAGUGCGAAACAUAUGGCAACAUGUCUUAAGAAAAAGAAUACGUGAGGCAAGAGAAUUUGAAAGUCUUGAGGGAAUUCACUUAAUGAGGAAUGGAUCAGAUCACACUGAUGAUGGUAACCUGUUUGCUGUAGGAAAAGAAAUGAACUUAAUGAAGAAAAGGAAAGAUUUUGAUAGUAAACAUGAUGACCAAGUAUUCUUAGAUCAAACUUUCAUAAAGAAAGCUAGAGUAGUUUGGUCUGUGGAUCUUCAUCAGAAAUUUGUUAAAGCGGUGAAUCAGCUUGGAUUCGAUAGUAAGUUUCUUAUCAACAUUCUCUACGAAGUCAGAUUCAAAUAAAUCUGCUUAUUGCUAUGCACGCCAAUGAACGGAACUUAAAUUCCGGUCUUGUUUAUCAUAUUGUUCUUGAUAAUUUUAUGUAUGAAGUUAUGAACCAUCAUAUUUUUUGUGUAAGAGAAUGUAAUGACAAAAAUAAUUUCUUUUUGGCAGAAGUUGGUCCCAAGAAAAUUCUAGAUUUGAUGAAUGUUCCAUGGCUGACUAGAGAAAAUGUUGCUAGUCAUUUGCAGGUAUAUGAUUUAGACAUGUGAAUUGCUUAGGUGGUACUAUAUAAACAAUUCUUAGAUUUGAUGAGAUAUUUUAGUAGGAAACUUGUAUCAUCUUUUGAAUUAGUCACCGGUGAGAAUGAUAUGAAACAUGAGUAGUUAUGUAAGACAAAUGUUAGAUUAGAAAUAUAAUCAUUAGAGGGAAAAUCGGGGUUCUACAUCCUAGAGUAAAUGGAGAAGACCGACAGAAUCAUCAGUAUUGAGAGUAGACCGAAAGCAAAGGUUUAGUUUUUGAGUUUAAUACACUUUCUAGGGUCGACCGAGCCAUGUAGUUUGAAAAAUUACUUGAUUUUUGUUGUGCUGUUAACAUCUCAAUUUCUAAAGUUGAAAGUUUAUAUUAUGAGUAUUACGUCUGAUAUUUGUUUCUGUUAGGCCUAUAACUAGAAGGCUAGAAUCAUAGUAGAGGUUCAAUUUAAAUUAAGCAUCCAAUACAGGUCACAGAAAUACUGACAUAAAUGCAGACUAUCUUAUAAAAUUCAAAUUGGAUAAUUUUAUUGAGUUUGAAAACUUAAAAGGUUCCUAAUAAUAAAAUUUUGCUCUUCAGAAAUACCGGCUCUACUUGAGUAGGUUGCAAAAGAAAAAUGAUCAGAAAUCGUCCUCAGGUGGAAUAAAGCAUUCAGAUUUACCUUCAAAAGAUCCAGGAUGUUUAAGCUUUCUCAACUCUUUCAACAAGCAACAAAAGGAAGGUGCAAUCGACAGCUUUGGAUAUUCAGACGGGACAUUAAAAAUUCAAAUGGAUACUACGAGUCAUGAAAAAAGAAGAGCUUCAACUAGUGACAUUCCUAAUCCAAAGAUAAGAAAGAGUUCAGAGAUAGGUCUUAACCAAUCUCUUGAAUCUGCAGAAUCAGAAGCAAACCAUACAGUAUUUGACUCCGUCAUACCAACACAGUACUCUUGGAAUGAAGUUCCAAAAAGGCCACUCGGAGAAGAACUUAACACACUUGUACAAUUAAAGGAUAAUCUCAGCCAUUUGCCAUUAAAUGUUACACAGCAACACUUCCAAAAUGACCGAUCACUAUCAAUUAAUUCCAAUCCCUCCGGUUACAAAAGUGAUUACAUUAGACCUGUGAAUUCAACGGUGUCUUCAGUUGAUACCUUUCCUAGUCAGUCCAAAAGCGAUAUCAUUUUCACUUCAAAUUUGAGUUUAAAAACACCAAAAUUUAAUCUUGGCUGCGCUUCUGAUAUGGAAAUCUACCAAAGAAACUUACUUUUGGGUAUUGAGUCAGCUUCAACACCUUUGGACGAGGACUUAAAUUUGUUCUUGUUACAAGGUGAAUACUAUGAUAUGAACUUUGACAUGCAGAAUAUAGAGAUGUCAGAGUAUUAUGAUCCAAGGCUUAUUCCUGAAGUUCCUACCAAUUUGUAUGCUUCAGGAGAUUAUUCUUAGCAUGAUAUUUGAUUCUGUCUUGCCUUUUCAUGCAUCUUCAACGAAAGUCCAACUCCGCAAAUGAAAUAACUGCUUACUAUUAGGUAUUUUUUUUCCCUUGUUAGAUAGGAUUUCGAUAAUGAAAAACAUAUAGAAAAGGAUAUGAUGUCUGAUGAGGAAACAUUAAGCUUAUCAAUAAGCUUGUUUUCUUUCUUAAUGCUACCAACUUGGUAGUUCGAGAAGCAUUUUCGCACGUUUGUAAUUUUGUAAACCAACAAUGGUUCAUAGCAAAAUGCUUGCUGAAUCACGCAAGUAAAUUCAUCAUUGCAAAAGAAAUGUAACUAAAGACUAUUUAUAUAUAUUUUUUUGUUGGAAAAAGACUAUUUGUAUUAUGUUCAUUCUAAUCACCUUUACAUUACCAUAUGAAAGCUAACUUAGUUACUGAUUAUAUGAUUCAAUUUGUUUUAGUUUUCUCUCUUCUAUUAGCAAUUCGUUUCUUUAGUUUACAGAACUCAUGUUAGAAAUCUUGUUGUUACGAAAAGGCUGCGACACACAAAGAAUGAAGAAGAUGCACCUUAAGAACAGCAAAGAGUGCGUUUACACACUAACAUGUCGUCUCCGAUAAGUACAUAUUGGAUGCAAGUGGAAUGACCAACAAAUCCCUUCGGGAACAUUGAUGUGGAUUGCACAAACAAGCCACAUUUAUCUCUUAAUAAUUGUUUACAAAAUUUUGUUUCCUACAUUUCUCUCAUGCAUUAGAGAACAUAAUGAGGAUUUAGAGUGAGAAAAAAAUAUAUUAAACAACAUCGAUUGCUUUAAUUUAAUAAAAGUAUCUUACAUUCUCUUAUUUUUAACUUAAUUAUGCAAUUACAGAUAAAAAGUCACAAUUAUUCUUGACUAAUUUUUUUUUCCAAUACGUACGUGCAUGAAUGAGAUUGAAUUCACGAUCAUUUGCUAUUGAGUCCCUUAACUAUCACCCAAAUCAACAUGUUUUUGAGGUAGCUUCUUCCAUUAAAUUAGUUGAUUGAACGGUGGUUGUAUACUUUGAAUAGGGUAUUGACGUGUAAGCUCAUGUGGGGCGAGGGAAAUUAUAUAUCCGCAAUGUGACAAUUAAGUUAUUAUUAUAUAUAAUACUCUCUUUUUUGUUGGUCAAGAAUUAUGUAUAAUACUCUAUGCAAGCUUCUUCUUUUUGACUGGUCCUAUCUAAUAAUACUAUAUGCAUGUUUUAAAAUCAUUGUAUAUAAUAAAUAAAUCUAAUAAUAUUAUCAAUAAAAUAUAAUAAGUCUUUCAAUAACGCAGACAAGUGCUGAAUGUCACCAAGCAGAAAUCAACGUGAUUGGUUAUUUUCGAGAUUAAAUGAAAACGUUUUCCUUUUCCUCUCUAAAAUAAUAAUACUAACUCUAACACGUUGGUGAAAGGUGGGUGAUGUAAUAUACGCGUGUUCAUACUUUAAACUGGUCUUGAUCUUGUAUUAAUGUUCAUAAUUCAUACACUAUAUAAACACUUUAUGCUAUGUGUAUGGCAAUCCAUUCAAUCAAUAUACCAGUGAGCAUAAAUUGUACUAGUGAGAAUAUUAAUCAGUUGUUGAGCCAAUCAAAUACCAUAUGGAAAUUGAAUUAAUUUCUAGAGAAACCAUCAAACCUUCAUCACCAACUCCUACUCACCUCAGAAUUUAUCCACUUUCUUUCAUUGAUAACAUUUUUUUUCGUUUAUAUGUUCCAGUCAUUUUCUUUUACAAUCCAAAUGAGUGUAGUGACCAAAAUUCCAAAGUAUCACUACUUCGAAAAUCUUUAUCUCAACUUUUAUCUAAAUACUACCCUUUUGCUGGCAGAUUAAAAGAUAAAAUUACCAUUGAAUGUAAUGAUCAAGGUGUGUCAUUUUUGGUCACAAAGAUCAAAAACAAACUUUCAGAGAUUCUCAAAAACCCCACAGAUAAAAUAUUGAACCCUUUGUUUCCCGACAAAUUGCAAUGGAAAGACAUGGAUUGGAGCGAUACUUUGAUAGCUGUUCAAAUCAACUGUUUCGCAUGUGGAGGAAUGGCGAUAAGUAUUUGCAUGAGUCACAAAAUUGGUGAUGCGUCAACCAUUUUCAACUUCAUGAAUGAUUGGUCCAUCAUCAACCAAAAAUUACAAGAAGAAGAAGAAGAUAAAGGGUUAUUAGUAUUACCUUUUCCUUUACUUGAUGGAGGAGCUUCUGUUUUUCCACAAAGGGAUUUAACUAUUUUCCCAGAACUUGUGUUAACGAGAAAAAACAAUGUGGUGUGUAAAAGGUUUGUGUUUCAACCCUCAAUGAUCAAGUCCCUUAAGGCAAUGGCAACUUCUAGUUCUAUGCAUUCACCUCCAUCACGUGUACAAGCAGUAACUGCAUGGAUUUAUAAGCGUGCAGUUUCACUAAUGGGAUUAAAUUUCCAGACGGCUUUAUUUAGCAUGGGUGUAGAUCUUCGCAAAAGAAUGGUUCCUGCAUUGUCUGAAAAGUGUGUAGGAAACAUUGUUUGGUUCUCGUCUAUGGUUGCAGAUAAGAAGGAAAUGGAAUUACAUGAGUUGGUAUCCAAAAUAAAAGAAGGGUUAUCGCAGUUUGGUGACUUUAUUCCGGAAACAUUUGGAGCGAAAGAGAAUGAAAACUUGUCAUUAAUAUCUGAGUGCUUGAAACAAGUUACUGAGCCUCAUCCCGAAAAUGAAAAUUUGUUUACUUUUAGUAGCUGGUGUAGGUUUCCAAUGUAUGAAACAAAUUUUGGGUGGGGAAAUCCAACAUGGGUCACCACUUUUGGUUGUUCUUCAAGGAACAUAAUAUUUCUGAUGGAUACAAAAGAUGGAGAAGGGAUUGAAGCUAUUGUGAACAUGGAAGACAAUUACAUGACUAAGUUUGAGCAUGAAGUUGAGCUUCUUCGACAUGCCUCUUUGAAUCCAAGCAAUGUUGGACACGAUGACUAUGUGUUCUCUUCGCAAGCUCUCUCAAUUCCUUCUUAGCAUAUUUGGAUCUAUGUGUAUGAUUUGUGGGUUUGGAUUAAAGAUUCUCAAUAAGUGUUGAAAGAGACUUGUUUAUUUAAGUUAUUAAUUACAUUUUAAUCAUUUUUCUUUCUCUUUUGCACUUGUAAUCUGUUCAUUUUAGUUAAUUUACUAUUGUUUACUUUCUCUAAAUCUGGCUGUUAUAUCUACAUUAAGGGUAUUGCAAUUGUGGAUUCAGUAAUGAUUAGUGUUUAUCUUGUGAAUGAAAAAAUUGCAAUCUCUGGUAUUUUAGCCUAAAAUAUCAUGUCUCCAUAGUAAAUUUUAGUGAUGAUAUUGGUACUGUAAUAACCAUCAGCAGAUAGCUAAUCAAAUUCUUAUCAGUUGUAUUGAUUUUGGUGAUCUGGCCAGAUAUUUUGUACUGCACAGCUACACCUAGCACAACUUGUUCUUUAGCUACUAUUCGUCACCAAUAAUUGAACACUUACUUUAUUUACUUUGACUAAUGACAAAACUCUAGUUAAAAUUCUUAUUCUGGAUACGAGCCGAGUAUAAGUCACAGGUUUGUGUGUAUUUGGGAGAUUGGCAUGUUAUGCCUUGGCUGGAAUGGGGGGUGGUCAAGAUGACAGAGAAGAGAAUUUGGAGAUCAAACUUCCAUAAAGAAAGCUAGAGUAGUUUGGUAUGUGGAUUUGGUAGUAAGUUUCUUAUCAACAUUCUCUAUGAAGUGUUAUCUUGAGAGAGGUUCAAUCUAAAAUCUGAAAAAAUGUUCUAAAAUAGUCUAUAAAUUUCAUUGACUUUGAAAACUUAAUUUCAGGUUCCUAAUAAUAAAAUUUUGAUCUGCAGAAAUAUCGACUCUACUUGAGUAGGCUGCAAAACAAAAAAUAUCAGAAUUCUUCCUCAUAAAGGUGAAUUUGAAUAAAGCAUUUCAAAACACGGGACAUUAAAAUUUCUAUUAGAUAAUUGUAACAAGUGACAUUGUUGAUCCGAAGAUAAGAAAGAGUUCGCAGAUAGGUCUUAAUCAACCUUUUGAAUCUAAGAUUCAGAAGCAAACCAUACUAUUAGAACUGAUACUAGAGAUUCAAUUUCUGUUACAUUAUGUUACAACAGCAGCUCAUAUAGAGGCUUAGUGUGAAACAAGCUCCAUUAGCUAGGUUUUAGAAGUUCUCUAUUGUGAUUAUAUCUCUUGCAUUCAACUCUAGUGAUCAUGUUUCUGCUUUAUUUGUCGGAACAACUUCUCAUGAUGGUAUUAUACUCUCCUUGUAUGUUGAUGAUAUAUGAUUAUUACAAGUAAUGAUGUUGAUGGGAUUGAUGAGUUGAAAUUACAUUUAGCAAAAAUAUUUGAGAUGAAGGAUUUGGUCCCUCAUCGCUACUCUCCUACGGCUUUGUUUGCGAGUUGGGUUUUGGAGGGGAGGGGAAGAGAAGGAAAGGCUUAUGGAGUGUAAACCCUUGUUUGUGAGUUUUAAAAGAACAAGGGAAAGGUUUUGGGGGGGUUUUGAAGGGCUUCAUUUGUCCAAUUUUAAAGUUCCCCUAUAUUGGGGGUUUUAGAAGGUUAAACAUACAAAUUGACAAUUUUGCCCUCUUAAUAAUUCAAAAUUCCAAUUUUAAACAUUACUAAAAUUAUUACAAUCUUUUUUAAGAACAACUUAUUCAAAACAACUUAUAUAUACAAAACAGCUUAUUACGACCUCAUUUUCAAAAACCGCUUAUUCAAAACAACUUAUUUAAACAAAACAGCUUAUUACGACCUCAUUUUCAAAAACAGCUUAUUCAAAACAACUUAUUUAUUCAAAACAGCUUAUUACGACCUCAUUUUCAAAAACCGCUUAUUCCAAACAACUUAUUUAUACAAAACAGCUUAUUACGACCUCAUUUUCAAAAACAGCUUAUUCAAAACAACUUAUUUAUGCAAAACAGCUUAAUACAAUAUCUUUUUCAAAAACAGCUUAUUCAAAACAUCUUAUUUAUACAAAACAGCUUAUUACGACCUCAUUUUUUAAAAACCGUUUAUUCAAAACAACCUAUUUAUACAAAACAGCUUAUUACGACCUCAUUUUCAAAAAUCGCUUAUUUAAAACAACUUAUUUAUGCAAAACAGCUUAAUACGAUCUCUUUUUCAAAAACAACUUAUUCAAAACAGUUUAUUUAUAUAAAACAGCUUGUUACGACCUCAUUUUAAAAAACCGUUUAUUCAAAAAAAACUUAUUUAUACAAAACAACUUAUUACGAAAAAUCGUAUUAAGCUGUUUUGCUUAAAUAAGCUGUUUUGAAUAAGUUGUUUUUGAAAAAGAGGUCGUAAUAAGCUGUUUUGUAUAAAUAAGCUAUUUUGAAUAAGCGAUUUUAGAAAAUGAGGUCAUAUUAAGCUGUUUUGUAUAAAUAAGUUGUUUUGAAUAAGCUGUUUUUGAAAAAGAGAUCGUAUUAAGCUGUUUUGCUUAAAUAAGCUGUUUUGAAUAAGCUGUUUUUGAAAAAGAGGUCGUAAUAAGUUGUUUUGUAUAAAUAAGAUAUUUUGAAUAAGCGGUUUUAGAAAAUGAGAUCGUAUUAAGCUGUUUUGUAUAAAUAAGCUGUUUUGAAUAAGCUGAUUUUUAAAAAAAAAUAGUAAUAAUUUGUUUUUCAUAAGAUAAGCUGUUUUUUAAAAAGAGGCCGUAAUAAGUUGUUUUGUAUAAAUAAGUUGUUUUUAAAAAGUGAUUGUAAUAAGCUUUUUUUUUAUAAAUAAGUUUUUUUGAAUAAGUUUUUUUUUAAAAAAAUAGAUCGUAAUAAUUUGUUUUUCAUGAGAUGAGUUGUUUUGAAUAAAUUAGAAGUUAAAUUAUGAAGUAUAACAAUGUAUUGAUUUUAAGAGGAAAAAGGGUAAAAUAGUAAAAUUAUAACAUAAGCCCUCCAUCUCCUUACCUUAUUGGCUUUUUAGCUUCCAAACAAGGGAAAGGUUUUCCCUCCUUUCUCCCUUCCCUCCCUUUCCUUCCCUUCCCCUCCUUAGCCUUUCCUUUCCUUCCCCUCAAAACUCGCAAACAAAGCCUAAGGGUUAUCUUUUAUCCCAAUCCAAGUACAUUGCCAACAUUCUUGAGCAAAGCUCGACUCUCUGAUACUCAAGCAGUAGAUAGUCCUCUAGAGUUGAACCUGAAAUUUGUUUCCUCCGAUGGAGUUCCUCUUCCAGAUCUCAUUUUGUUAUGUGUUGCAUGUUGUUAGUCAGUUUGUUGUCUCUCCCACUAUAGUGCAUUGGGAAGUCUGCUUCGUAUUCUUCGUUAUCUUCGAGAAGCUCAGUUUCGAAGUCUUUUGUUUCCGUCAUCUUCUUCCAUGGAGUUAUGUGCUUACUUUGAUGCUGAUUGAGCUAGUGAUCCUACUAACCGUAAGUCUAUGACAAGAUUUUGUAUAUUUCUUGGAGAUUCUCUCAUAUCUUGAAAGAGUAAAAAGCAGGAGAUUGUUUCUCGCACUUCUACAGAAGCAGAGUAUUACUCUAUGACAUCAACCAUUACUAAAAUAGUUUGGUUGCAUUGGUUACUUUAUGAUAUUGGUGUCCAUUUGUCUAAACCAACUCCUAUGUAUUGUGAUAUCAAAAGUGUCGAUCAAAUUGCCCACAACUCAAUAUUUCAUGAGCGUAAGAGACGCAUUGGGAUUGAUUGUCACUUCACACGUCACCAUCUUCGAUGUGUCACCAUUACCACUUACUCUAACAUUUGUUUCAUCCUUCUUGCAUAUUGUUGAUUUGCUCACAAAGACACAUUCUAUUAUACACUUUUGUUUUUUAUUGACAAACUAUGGAUGCUCCCUAAUAAUUCAUCGUGAGUUUAAGAAAAAAUGUUAGAUAAUAUUUAUAAAAAUGUUAGAUAAUAUUUAUAUUAUCAUGUUAGAGUGGGUUAGUCUUUUCCCAUCUCAAGUUUAUAUACUCUAUAGAGUACUUGUUUCACUAAAUUUGCUCAUAUGAUUGAAACCUUAAGCUAAAGGUGUUCCUCUUCUUCCUCUAUUUUUCUAUAUGUUUAUCAUUGUUAACACAACACAUUUUCCUCUCUUUUUUCUUCUACUUUAGAAAGAAUAAAAUAACAAAUGGUAUAAAUUUAGGGAGUUGUGUAGCUUAACUAGUUUUAGUUAGUUAAGUUCUUCUAAAGUUAACUAGUUUUCUUCUAAAGUUAGGUACCGUUUAGCUAGUCUUUUUUCUACUUCUCUACAGUUGUAAUGAGAAGUUAGGUCAAACACAAUAUCAAUUAAAUAUUAAGUAAAAAAAUAAUACUUUUUAAAAUGCAUAAAAUUGAAUGAAAAAAACUUUACCAAAAAUUAUCUUUUAAUAUUAUAUUUCAAUAUAUUUUUUUUGCUUUCAUUUAAUUUUAUUCACGUUGGGCACCUCUACGGUAGUACUUUUUGAGGAACCUCUACAAUAGUACUGUUUAAAUCUAAUCUAAUUUUCUUUUCAUUUAAUUCUCGCCAAAACCCUAAACCCUAUAUAUAUAUAUAUAUAGUAGUGUUACACUCCUUGUUUGUCCGUUUGUUUUUUUACUACGCUAAUGCGUAUAAAUUACAAAUAAUGAUUUUUAUGAAAUUUUUAUUUAUUAUAUUAAUUUAUAAUAAAUUUAAAAUUUUUUACAAUAUUUUGUCAAACAACUUUUAACUUAAGAAUAACCUUAGAACCAAAAAAGAUAAAGAAUACCAAACAACUUUCACUUCUUUCCUAAAAUCGUUACUUUUAACUUUGUUUUACAAGUAAUUUUAAACUAUAAAAAAACCAGGCCAAACAAUGCCAAAAUUAAUCUUAAAGCUCAUUUGUGUCAUUUUUUAGUGUAAUUAUUAAGCUUAUUUUCAUUUUAAAAGCUUGUAAAAAAUAUGUUUAGCCAAGCUAAAAAAAAGGCUGAGCUAAACACUACCUUAGUGUGUGUAAAUAUUGAUCGUCGUAUGUGCUCGUGAUAUUAGCUUAGUUGGCAAGGACAAUACAUAAUACAUCCUCCGGUCAUUAUCAUAAGCAAAACUUUGCAUUUUAGAUUCAUUCAAUUAAUGAUGUAUGUUGUUUAUAAUAAAGACUAUAUACAUCAUUAAUUGAAUGAAUGUAAAAUGCAAAAUUUUACUUAUAAUAGUGACCAGGUUCAAACCCGACCACCAUAAAAAUUUAAUUUAAUUAAUUAUUUUACAACAAAUCUGAAUUAACGCACACGAAGCUGAAUGAUACCGAAACACAAAUGCCAACGCGCAAAAUAUUCAUUCAUCCAGGUCUUCUUUUUUAUUUUUUAUAAAGUCCAGAUCUAUUUAUUUGUUUAUUAAACGCGAUAUACACGCCUUCACACUUCAAAAUAUAUAUAUAUUUUACUUCAAAUUAAAAACAUUAAGAAGUGAGUUGCAAUUUACAUUCAUUUGAUUUUAAUUAAAAAGUCAUAUUUUAUUAUCUUGAUUUUGAUUAAAAAAGUCAUAUACUAUUAUCUUAAACUAGUCAUUCUAUAUUUAUUUAUUUUUGGUAGAAAGUCAUUCUAUAUUUGAUAUUAAGAAGUGAGUUGCAAUUUAUAUACAUAUUUUAUCUUAAUUUUUUUUAACGUGUUUGCGUGAAUAAGAAAAAUUCAACAAGGAUUGAAUUUCGAAUAUGUUGAAAGAUUUGUAAGAUAUUAUUUGAAAUUCAAACAUGUAAUAUUUAUUUCUGUUUCUCAAAAAGUUCUUUUAAUUUAUUAGGCAGAAUAUUGGCUUGAUUCAGUGAAAUUUCUCAUGUAAGAUUGAUACAUGAUUCUUGGGGCUUUGAUACAUGUGUUCCCAACACUUUUCUUUUAAUAAAGGUUCUCUUUUUCGUUUCUAAAUACAUGUCAUUGUCAACUACUUUACACAUGUUAAUGCACAAUUUUGAGUAUUAAUAUAUUUAAUUAUUUAUAAUAAAAAAUUAUAUAAAGUUGAUAUUUUAAGAAUAUUCAUCGAGAUAAAUCAAAAAAUAUUUUAUAUAUUAACAUUUAUCUUUAUAUAUUAAUAAAAAAUUAUGAUAAAAAUAAAUUAUGUGAAUAGUGCACAUAUCAAAUUGUGACAUGUAUUCAAUCUAUUCAUUUUUGUUAAUUAAUUAAUUAUAUUGUUUAAUUUUUCUUUUGAAAGUCAAAUUCAAAAUAAACCACAAUGUGGCAAUCACACUCACACUCACACGUAUUAACCCAAAGCCCUUGUGCCUAAUCCAAUCAAAAAAAUUCUAGCAAAUUUGCACAUAUUAAGAAGUUUAAUAUAGUAAAUUUGUAUUAAAAUUUGUGUAUUUUAUAUUGAGUUUAUAAAUUUUAUUGAGUUUGAAAACUUUCAGGUUCCAAAUAAUAAAAUUUUGCUCUUCAGAAAUAUCGACUCUACUUGAGUAGAUUGCAAAAGGAAAAUUAUCAAAAUUCUUCCUCAUGAAGGUGAAUUUGAAUAAAGCAUUUAAAUUUACCUUCAAAAGACCGGACAUUAAAACUUCUAUGGAUACUUACAAGUCAUAGUGGUGAUCUCAAGAGAAUUGUGACAAGUGACAUUCUUGAUCCAAAGAAAAGAUAGAGUUCACAGAUAGGUUUUAAUCAACCUUUUGAAUAUGUAGAUUCAGAAGCAAACCAUACAGUAUUUAGAGACAUUAAAGUGUAUAAAAAUGGACAACUUCAAUCACUCAAUUCGUCAUGCAACAAUUACCCUAAUUCAUAACUAAAAUUCCUAAACCCAAUUAUAUAAACCCUUGUCCCAAAAUAACGACGAAUGUGGGAGGGUAACCCACCCCUAAUUCUAGGUUGGAGAUGAUGAUUCAAGCUUGCAAUUUAUUUUUUUUUUGCUCCUAAUCUCUUCCCUUUAAAAUUGAGUGCAAAUAUAAGUUUAAAAUGGUUGUUUACGAGGAUUUUGUUUUUAUAUCUUGACCAUGUUAUGCUCAUGUUUGUGGCCUUUUUUUUUUUUAUAAAUUUUUUGCAUUUAUUUAUUUAUGGUGCAGUAAGCUAGCAACCAAAAUCUGAAAUGGAAACAUCCUCUCAAUGUUUGUAUUGGGGAUCUUUUUUUCCCUCUCAGGUUGCCUACAUGAAGGUGCAGUUAAUGCUUUUGAAGAUGUUGCUGGCAAAAGUUUUAAUCACUUUUCAGCUUUAGAGAUGGAGUAUUCUUUCUAUUAACUUGGCCUUUUAAACAUUUCCUAAGCUCUAUUGUAUUAUCAUUUUUGGCCCUUCCCAUGAGCAUUACUUAUGCUUAAGCUUAAGAUAUCAAGAAUGAAUAGAACAUGUGAAAAUAAAUUCAAAUAAUAUAUGCAUGUUUCUAAAGCAUUGUAAUAAAUAAAUCAAAUAGAUUCUCAUAAAAAAAAACAAGUUCAAAUAAAUAUGAAGUAACGCACACUAAAGUUGAAUGUAUAUAUUUAUUAUUUAUAUUAGUACUUUGUUUAACGUAUCUUUUUUCUUCAAAAUAUUAACACGUUGGUGAGAUGUGCGGUAUACGUGUAUUCAUAUUCAUACUAUUGCUCCCUCAAAAAAAUAUUCAUACUAUUGUUUAUUGUAUUGUAAUAGCUUAUAAGCAAAUUCAUCCACUAUAUAAACUCUUGUGCUAAUGUCAAGGCAAUGCAUUCUUGAUAGCUUAAACACUAGUGAGGAUAUCAAUUGAAUUAUAUAUAUAUAUAUAUCAGCUUGAGAGGCAUUUUAUUACCAUGGAAAUUGAAUUAAUUUCUAGAGAAACCAUCAAACCUUCAUCACCAACUCCUUCUCACCUCAAAAUAUACCCACUUUCUUUCAUAGACAACAUUUUGAUGCGUAACUAUGUGCCAUUACUUUACUUUUACAAACCAAACAAAGAUAGUGACCAAAAUGUCAAAAUUUCACAAUUACGUAAAUCUUUAUCUCAACUUUUAUCCAAAUAUUAUCCUUUUGCUGGAAGGUUGAAAGAUAAAAUUACCGUCGAAUGUAAUGAUCAAGGUGUGCCGUUUCUAGUCACAAAUGUCAAAAACAAACUAUCAGAAGUCCUCCAAAACCCUAUAGAAAAAUUGUUGAACCCUUUGUUCCCGGAUGAAUUGCAAUGGAAAGAAAUGGAUUGGAGUGAAACUUUAAUAGCCAUUCAAAUCAACUGUUUUGCAUGUGGAGGAAUGGCGAUAAGUGUUUGCAUGAGUCACAAAAUUGGUGAUGGUUCGACACUUUUCAACUUCAUGAAUGAUUGGUCCAUUAUCAACGAAAAUUUACCAAAAGAAAAAGAAGGAGAAAAAGGGUUAUUAGAAUUACCCUUUCAUUUCCUUGAUGGAGGAGCUUCAAUGUUUCCACAAAGAGAUUUACCUAUUUUUCAAGAACUUGUUCUUAAGAGAGAAAACAAUGUGGUGUGUAAAAGAUUUGUGUUUCAACCCUCAAUGAUCAAGUCCCUUAAGAAAAUGGCAACUUCUAGUUCGGUGCAUUCUCCCACACGUGUACAAGUUGUGACUGCAUGGAUUUACAAAUGCACGGUUUCAAUAACGGGAUUAAAUUUCAAGACAUCAUUGUUUAGUAUGGCUGUUGAUUUUCGCAAAAGAAUGGUUCCUCCGUUGUCUGAAAAAUGUGUAGGGAACAUAUUUUGGUUCUCGUCUAUGUUUGCAGAUAAGAAGGAAAUGGAACUAAAGGAUUUGGUAUGCAAAAUAAAAGAAGGGUUAUCUGAAUGUUGUGACGUUUAUCCAAAAAUAUUUGGAGGGAAAAAGAAUGAUAAUUUGUUAAAAAUAUCUGAAUGCUUGAAACAAGUUACUGAGUCUUAUUCUGAGAAUGGAAAUUUGAUUAGUUUUAGUAGUUGGUGUAGGUUUCCAAUGUAUGAAGCUGAUUUUGGGUGGGGAAAACCAAUAUGGGUGACAACUAGUGCUUGUUACGUGAGGAAUGGGAUAAUUUUGAUGGAUACAAGAGAUGGGGAUGGGAUUGAAGCGGUUGUGAAUAUGGAAGAGAAUGAUAUGACUAAGUUUGAGCAUGAAGUGAAGCUUCUUCAAUAUGCCUCUCUUAAUCCAACCAAUGUUUAACAUGAUGAGUAUGUGGAUCUAUAUAUAUAAUAAUAAUAAUGUGUUGGUGUGGAUAAGUGAUUUUCAAUAAGGAUUGAAUUUUGAAUGUGUUGAAAGAUAAUUGAAAAAUAUUCAAUCAUGCAAGGUUUUCUGUUUCUUAAAAAAAAUCUUUUAAAUUGGCUUGAUUUAGUGAAUUUCUCUCAAGAUUGAUACAUGUACUUUUUUACACGUUUCAUUUAAUAAAGUUAUUAAAUUUUGGUUCUUUUCCUUUCUCUUUUGAUUUCACUUUCAGCUAGUUUAUUGUAGUCAAUUAAUUCACGGUUUAUUAUAACUUAUGUUAGUAUAUAAACCACAUUGUGUUCAUCACAAGUAACAACUUACAAACUAAAAACCAAAUCCUUGCACCUUAUAAUAAGUUGCAUGUGCGCCUGAUCAAACAAUUCAAAUCCCCUACAUUUAUCUAGCAAUCAAUUAACAAACAAAAUAUUACCAAUGCAAAGCCUAAAAGCUAAUGAAAAUAUUUGUAUUGGAAACUAAUUUCUGCUGAAUUUUAUUUUGAAGAAACAUGCAUGUACAUGAUAGCAACAGAAAUUGUGUUGAAAUUGUUCUCCACAUUAGUCAAAUGGUUGCAGUUUCUUUUAAAACUUGCACCAGACUUGUAUUAGUUAUUUAUCAAUUAAGAGAUUUAACUCAUUAACAAUUAAAUUAAGUAAUAAAAUUUAUUAAAUUUUUAAUUGGAUAAUUAAUUAAUUGAUAUGAAAUAAAAUAUGAGUUACAUUGUCAUUAGUCCAUAUUCUAUCCGACGUAAAACUCUUAACAAAGUCAAGAACCACUCGAUACUUGUCUCAUGUUGUGGAUAUCCACGUUGUAAGAUUAAUUAUUAAAUUAAUUUGAACGUAUACAUCCCACAAAUGUGUUGUCUCAAAACAGAACAUGGACUAAUUAGAUCAAUUUAUCAAUUUCACAUGACAGCUACUACAUAAAAACUCAUGUUAUUUCUAACCCAAAUUAUUUCUAUCUAGCCAAUUUGACCAUAAAAUAGAAAAACAAAUAAUUUGCAACAUCUCUCUUGAACCUGCAGAGCAUAGGAUAGGACCGUGAAUGUUCAAAAUAGAUUGCAGUCAAAUCCUGAUCCAGCUAAUUUCAUCCAUUGCAUCAAGAAUCAAGAUGCUGAUUGGGUUGCCGGCCUAUCUUAGUAUGUUUUAUACAUUUCUAAAUUACUCAAAUAUGUCAAAUCAAUGUAUGCAGAUACAAUUGGACGUUAAUUAAUUGGUUGUUUCAGUAACGACCUACUUGUUUUUUUAAUGAAAAUAACCAACUUGUGUUCAUUUUAACUUGGAUCAAUAACUAUAAUUAAAGUUUUUUUUUUUUUUUUUAAUGAAAUAUACCACAAACACUCUGUACAGACAGGAUUGGUCCAAUAAUUUUUAAUAGUAAAUUAAAUCUAAACCUAGUUUUGAUAUAUGGGGCUUUUUCCUACAUGAGUUUUUUUGUUUAUAAAAUAUAUCAACAUAUAUAUUUUAUUUGUAUGGCCAGUCCUCUUAUUUAUACAUGAUAAGUUUUGGCUGACUUUUUCAUUACCUAUUUUACCCUUUAUUUAAACUAUUUUAUCCUUUAAUAAUUUUAUUUUUAAUUUUAAUUAAAAAAAUCAAAUCUCAAUAAAAUAGGAAAUAUCCCACUCCAAUGGGAACAAUAUUAUCAUUAUUAUAUAUGAAGGGGAUAGAGAUUUUGGGCUAAAUUUUUUAUAAUUUCAAUUAUACCCUUAAAUUUUUAAUAUCCCACUCCAAUGUUACUUAUAAUUAUAAAAAAAGGGUAUAAUUGAACAUUGUGUAAGGGUAGAAUUGUGGGCUAAAUGUUUAGAAUUGUUUAACAUUGUGUACCAAUGCACUUAAAUUAUUGGGUGUAAAACAAAAGUUUAUUUUAUGGCAAAUUCUAUGGUACACCCAAUAAUUUAAGUGCAUUGGUACACCAAAUUCUUAAAUUAAUAGUUAAAUGAGUUAUUUUUUGUAGGAAAAAAAUAUUUUCUAUCACCUAUAAUUAUAAUAACUAAAUCUUUUUUACCAAAAACGUCAACACAAUAAAAUUUGAUUUUUCUGAAUUCCUAUUACUCAUAAUAGAGAAUUUUGAUUAUUUUUUACAAUAAAAUGUAAAAAAAUUUAGUAUGAUUUUUCUAAAAAAUGAAAUGAUGUUUUUUCUUAUAAAAUGAUAUUUUCUAAAAUAUAUAUGUCAACAAACACCUAUUUCUUUCAUAAAAAAUGAUAGUUAAUUUAUAAAAAUGUAAGCGAGAGUACCGGUACACCUUAAUUUGCGGGUGUACCGUAGAAGUUCCCUUUAUUUUAUACGUUCUUUAAACAAUGUUAUUGAAGCGUUUGUUAACAAGACUCUAUAUUUUUUUCUCAUACUAAAUGCUGAAAUUUGACUCCACUUUUUUUUUUUUGUGGUAGCUGGGAUUCGAACCCCGAAUCUCAUAUGAUAUAAAUUUAACUAGACCAAUAUGUUAGAAAAUGUGUGUCCUAGAGUGUAUUAUUCACAAAUGAAUAAUUGAUUUUAUCAAUGAGAGUAUACGUAUAAAGAAAAACUCCAAACCACAAACUAAGCAAAAAAAAAAAAAAAUCAAGGAACCUAACUUCAUCGAUAUUAUUUUUCUAUUUUUCCCAAUUGGAGUUUGUCUACAAAAUAUUGUAAACAAAAUUCAGUUGCACUACUAUAUAUCAAGUGUUAGAUAGAAUACUGGUUAGGAACAAAGGAUCAGAAGCAGAGUGAGAUCGCUUAAAAAAAAAACAAAGGAACAGAAAGUGAGAUAUAUGGAAAUGGAAAUAAUAUCAAGAGAAUUUAUCAAACCCUCAUCACCAACUCCAUCCCACCUUAGAAAUUUCCCUAUCUCUUUCAUAGAUCACAUUUCUUUCCGUAACUAUGUGCCCCUACUUUUCUUCUACGAUGAUACCAAAGUUUGUGACCAAACAUCCAAAAUCUCACACCUCAAGAAUUCUUUAUCUCAAAUUCUAUCCAUAUACUACCCCUUUGCAGGCAGGUUCAAAGAUCAGCUUUCCAUCGAAUGUAACGAUCAAGGUGCGUCAUUUCUAGUUGCAAAUAUCGCAGGAACAAAACUAUCAACUAUCCUCAAAAACCCCACGGAAAAUUUGCUUAACCCUUUGUUCCCUGAUGAAUUACAAUGGAAGAACAUGGAUUGCAAUGGAAGUAUUUUAGUUAUUCAAAUCAAUUGUUUUGCAUGUGGAGGAAUCAUAAUAAGUGUUUGUGCAUGUCACAAAAUUGUAGACGCUGCAACGGCUUUCAACUUCAUGAAUGAUUGGGCCAAAUUGAAUAGCGAAGGAGAAUCGAACUCAAAGUCGACGUUAUCAUUACCCUACAAUUUACUUUAUGCAGGAGAUACAAUAUUCUCACAAGGGAGUUUGCCUAAUUUCCCAGAAUGUGAGUUUGUAAUAGACAAAACAAUAGUGUCCAAAAGAUUUGUGUUUGAAGCUUCUAAGGUAAAGUUACUUAAGUCCAUGAUGGUAAAUUCGGAUUCAAAUGAGGUGAAAAAUCCCACACGUGUAGAAGUUGUGACUGCAAUGAUUUACAAGUGUGUGGUUUCUGCAUUGGAAUUAAAUUUCAAAACGACAUCGCUUCGCAUGGCUGUGGAUCUUCGUAGAAGAAUGGUUCCUCCAUUGUCUGAUAAGUCUGUAGGAAACAUAGUAUGGUUCUUGUUUCUUAUCAACCCGGAACUACAUGACUUGGUAUUCAAAAUUAGACAAGGGUUGCAUGAAUUUUGUGAGGUUUAUCCAAAGAAAUUCGGAGGUAAAGAAAAGGACUUGUCAUUUAUAUUUGAAUGCUUAAAACAAGUUACUACACCGGUUUCGGAGAGUGAUUAUAAUCAGAGUUUGAUUGUUUAUGCUAGUUGGUGUAAGUUUCCGAUGUAUGAAGCUGAUUUUGGAUGGGGAAAACCGAUAUGGGUGACAACUAGUACUUGUCCUGUGAAGAAUGCAAUAGUUUUGAUGGAUACAAGAAAUGGAGAUGGAAUUGAAGCGAUUGUGAAUAUGAAAGAGAGUGACAUGGUUAGAUUUGAACGAGAAGUGGAGCUCCUUCAAUAUGCCUCUCUUAAUCCGAGUAUUGUUUGAUAUGAUGUUGCUAAUAGGCUCUAACUCAAACAAAUGUUUCUUUGCAUCUUGCUAAAAUUAAGCAUUGUUGUUUGUAUGAAAUUUUCAUUUAGCAGUUAUAUGAUACCUUCAAUUCUAGGUGUUUACUGUACAAGUCAACUCAAUUAAUCUAAAUACUCAACUCAAUCCAGUUUGAAGUGUUAGGUUCAGAUUUUUUUGAACUUAGAUCAAACUCGAAUCAACACAACAAAACUUAAAGUGGUUUAGUUCCGGUAAAGGUUUAUCGUAUAAUUUCAAACCUGCAGGUCUGUGAACCUUUUUUUAAAAGGCAAAAUAAUAUGGUAACAUAUAGCAAUGUUGAACAAAACUUUGGUUAGGAAAUGAGAUUAUAGUGUUCAAUAAAAUUGCAAGAAGCAGACCCCCCCCCCCCCCCCUGCCCCGGCCCGAAAACAAAAUGGCAAAAGGCAGACUUGCCUGCAAGCCAAAAGAAUAAAGCUAGACAUAUAAGACAACAGUCCCUACCCUAAACCAGAAAACAGGACCAAAGCAUAAAAAUCCACAAACAAUAACAGCAAGCUAAAAUUUCAGAGGCCAAAGACCAUACAUAAAAGGCCACAGAAGCUACUAUUCUUGUUUCUUUCACAUGACUAGUUCCUUCGUGAUAAGUUUGUAAAUCAUCCCUGCCUAAAGCACAUGUUAGACAUAAUAUUUGAACUUUAGAGUUUAGGAAUACCAUGUCAGAUUUGUCUUUGGUCUAGUCUUCUUCGAAUUGCUUCUUUUCAGUUGAGUUUGGAACUUUGUCGUCCACUCUUGGUACAUAAUUUCCUUUCUCUACUAUGGACCACGUUUUGUUUUCUUGUGAUACAAGAAACAACUCGUUUUAUCUUUCCAUAAAAAAAAUGCUACAGGCACAAGGUAUUCCAAUUAGCAUAUACAAGCCACACUGAGGCCGUCACAACUAUCCCUUGCAUUUGCCAAAUACAAGCAACUAGUUAACAAAAGAGCUAAAUUUAUAUAGUUUAGAGAAUAAAUUGAACCUAAUGAUAAUUUAAGGGCUAAAUUUAUGGUUUAUUCUACACAUAGAUCCCACAUAUGUGUUGCCUCAAAAAUCAAAACAGAAAUGUAAACCAAACAUAUCUAACUUUUCUAUUUCUCAUGCAAUAAAGUUACACUUAAUUUUUUUUUUUGGGUGGUGUACACUUGAAAUAUUUAUGAUAUGACUUGUAGGCUGUAGCUUCCAAACCAGCAACGGCAAAAUAUAUUAUUAAUAGACUAAAAAUCAAGCGCAUGAAAAUAUCAACGUUAUAAAACCUUUGCAAAAUACAAAAACAUUGAAACAGUCAUAUAGAAAAUGCAAUGUUGUCCAACACUCCCAAACUACAUCAAAUCAAAUAAAAAUACAAUACAUAAUAUUUCACCAAGCCAAUUAUACCAUAUCCUCAAAGAUCACUUGAAUCAUACCACAUCUUGCUGCAAACACGAGCACCGCACCAAAUAACCAUUAGAAGAAAACAAACCUCUUAGAAUAACCAUGACCAUCCCCAACCAAAUGCAUAUCCGUAUACCAUACCGCAAAAAUGAAGUCACACUCACACCUUAUAAGUGCAUGUUUGUAUUCGCAGUACCCUUCGACAGUAUCUUAAGCUUUGCUUGCGAGUUUGGAGGGGAAGGCUUGAGAAAAAAAGGAAUGAGCAAGUGGAAGAAAUAAAGGAAAAUGGGAGGGGAGGGCUUUGGGGGUUAACUUUUCUUCAUGAUACUAAACCUCCUCAUUUGAGGGAACUAAAAAAUUGCAUUGGAGGAGUGUUUUGAGGGGUUUAUAUGAAUUCUUCAAAUUUAAUCUAUUUUGUUAUAUUAUUUUUAAAAUUAAAAAUUUAUUAAUCACAUGCAUUAAUUUGUCAUUCUCUAAAAAACUACUCUUUUACAAAAUUUGAAAGAUUUCUCCAUUUUUCCUCAUAUUUUCCACCCCUCAAAGUCUUCCAUUCUCCUCCCCUCCAAACUCACAAACAAAGCCUUAGUGAAUUUCUGCAAUUUUGUAAGAGUUACACUUUAUAGUUUAUUCAAAAUCAUGGUGUUGUAAUCUCAAAAUAAUUGACAUAUCAAAAGUGUACAUGAGAAGUUUUAUAGAAGCAUUUAGACUUAAAAAAAACUUUCGUGUUUAUAAUUUAAAGGGAAAUGUUAACAAGUGCCCUUUAGUAACUUUAAAUAGUAAGUUUUUGUCAAAGUUUAUGAAAUCAAUGCAUUGGAAAUUGAAGUUUUUGACUUUUUUAAAGAAUAAUUUCUUUAUUAAGAAUCCUUAAAGAGUGCAUAAGGGCAAUCGUUAACAAGACCCUAGUUAAAAUACUAGAAGAAACUUGCAGGGGAAGUUUUUCAAGUUAGUUAGAAAACAUUUGACAUUCAUGCGCCAUAGAUGUUAGUUUAUGUAUUUUUCUAUAAUUAAUAGAAUCAAACUCCAUGUUAAGGAGUACAUUUUUGUUCUGUAAAUGCCCACUAAUAACACAUAUUCAUCCACAUAGGAUAAACAUCUUGCUAGAUGAUUGAUUGAACAAUAUAUGUAACUCAAUAUAAUAAUAAUAUCAUUCUAUUUUAGUUUUAUUUCUUGUUUUUCUGCACUUUUAGGUGUGGUCUAAUGGUAGUGGUUUGGGGAUUGAGUAUCAUUUGAUGGUGCCAUUAUUAAGGAGUUGAUUCAUUGUAAAUGAACUGAAGUCGUAUUAUGAAUUGAGUGUUAUUUGCUGAAGAUGGUAUCGAUAGACGUCAUUGUCUUCAUAUAUAGGACGUGUCGGGUAGUGUUGGGAUGGAACUAGAAUUGACUGUCGGAUUAAGGUCUUGAGGAUAUUACUAGCAGGAAUGUCUCACAAGAAAGGUGGGGAUAUUAAGGUCUUGAAGAUGAGACUAAAGACUAUGUACCCUCCUUGCUUUUUUUAGUUCCUCGAAGGUAUGUGCCAAGAAAUCAUAGAAUGAACCCAGAGUCAUGUGUUUGUAAAUUUUUAAUGAUUAUUGUCAUUUCAUCUAUCUAAUAAUUUUCCAGUUUCAUGUGAAUAAUCUCAUAUUAAUAAAUAAGUAAAAAAUUAUAAAUAACAACAUGAUUAAACAAAGUCAUUGCAUAUUGCACCAUCUUUUUUUAAAGUAUAAGAUUACACCUAUUGAAACUUUGUUUUGUUGAUCAAGUAAUCUAGUGACGAAAAUAUUUAUAACAAACCCGAUGUUCGAAUCUUGAUCCUAAACUGCCGCGUUUUUUUUUUUUGAACAAAUUGCCGUGUUUAUGUCAACUGAACUUAUCCCGUUGAUUUUUUUUUUAAAUUGUAUUUAAUUUAUUUUCUUUUUGUCAUCGCUGAGUAAAAAAAAUAAAAACUCACAUAUCUUCCACUUCGGCGUUUCUCUAUUCUAACCCCUGAAUCGCCGUUUAUGCGAAACGAUUGAAGAAAACCCUCACCAACAACCAGUAUUACGGUGAUACUGAUUCAUUUCCACCGCUGAAACCCAAUGGCUCCGAAGCCCAAAACGACGCCGUCGCAGCCUCCAGCUCCACCUCCACUCGAAGAUCUAUUCACCACUCUCAACAAACACAUCCAAGCUUCCGCAUUCACCAAUGCCGUUAAACUCACAGAUCAGAGUUCGUUAAUUCUCAAUCUCCUCUUAAUUUCAAUUAAUUGAUUAAUUAUAUUUAUCAUCGAAUUAACAAUUUCGUUAUCUCAUCGCAGUUCUCGCAAUUGCACCUGCCGAUGAAGACGCGCUCCGAUGCAAGAUCGUUGCGUUAAUCAAAGAUGAUCGAUUUGAUGAUGCUGUUUCUGCAAUUCAAUCUUCUCGGACUCCUCCUGAGGAUUUUCAUUUCUUUAAGGUUCGUCAAUUAAAUCUGAGUUUCGUUGUUUUCUGAUUGAUUGAUUCGUGAAAUCCAGAAUUAGAGCUUAUGAUAGGGUAAUUGCUAUGAGUUGUAGAAUUCAUUGUUAGAGGUUGAAUUAUGAAAAUCCAUCAAAUUAGUCUCUUAACAUUUUACUAGCAGGUACUAAAUUGAUUGAAUGUAUAUACUUUAUGAAUUGCUUAUUAAAAUUAGCUUAUGCAAAAAAAUAAGCUUUUAUGUUAAUCUAUAAGUUUUAACUAACGAAAAUUGUAUCUUCAUAACCUGGUUUUUUUUUUUUUUUUCUUUUCCAUAAACUAUAUUGACAAACUUAUAAAUAAUACCAAAAAGCUCAUUUAUUUGCAUAAGCUCAAAAUAAGCCUUAUACAAAUGGGUGGACUAAAUUGGAGAGAGAAGGUGAUAGUUUAGGGAGACUAAAUUGAUUGUUUAUUCAUCGAACUAUGAAAUGGAAGCAUGGGGAGAUGUGUCUGUGAACUCUAGUAGUAGAUAUUAGGUCCAUGUGCAUGAGCUUAUUUUGUAUGAGUUCAAUUUUGAUACACUGUCCGUGUAAAAAAAUGUUACAUCGUCAAGGAAUGACAACAAAUCAUGUGUGACUUUAAAAGUAGUUAUGAUUAAACUAGUUAUGAUUUGAUGUUUGUGAUUGAUUGACUGUGUAAAAAAUCUUUACGCUGAUAGUGCAUUAAUUAAGCGUUUAAAUCAUUUGUAUAUACGGAAGUGGUUUCUGUCAUGUUGAAAAAAAUAUGAGCGUCAUGUUUAUAAUAUUAACCAUUCAAUCCUGAUCCUCUAUAUAUACAUGAGCGACAUGACCGAAAUUGAACAUGGGGGAAUUCAUUCCCUGUAUAUACAUAUAUGCGCUGAAACAUUGCAUACAUUUCAUAGAAAACUUUGUUGGAGUUAAUGGUAUCAGUGAGAAAAUGCUUACCAUCAAUUAUUUUUUACUUUGUUGUUUUUAAAUAGGCAUACUGCUUAUACAAACAAAACAAGUUGGAUGAAGCUUUGGAGUCUUUGCAAAAACAUGAGAGAAAUGAUGAAACUAUGCUUUUGGAAUCUCAAAUUUUGUAUCGUCUUGGGAAAAUGGAUGCUUGCCUGGAUAUCUACCAGAAGCUUCAAAAGUCCAAGAUUGAUAUGUUGGAAAUUAAUUCUGUUGCUGCCUUAGUUAUGGCAGGGAGAUCAUCUGAAGUUCAAGGAUGGCUGGAUUCAUUUCGGGUUAAAGCAACAAGCAGCUUUGAAUUGGCAUACAAUACUGCUUGUUCUUUAAUUCAAAGGAACAAGUACACAGAAGCUGAGCAGCUCUUGUUGUCUGCCCGAAGGUGAUGUGAUAUUUUGAUUGUGGGAAUCAUGAAAUUGACCAAAUUUACUUCAGAUAUUUUCAUGGGUAACAUAUAACAUUAUAGUCUAGCAAUAUUUGAUUUAUUAUAGUCCAACACUAUUCAAAUAUUCAAUUUUAGUGUUUGUGAUGUGUAUAGAGCAUACAAUAUAUCAUUCACACAAAAAUAGUAUAUCAUGUAUCUGUCUUAUCAGUUGCUAGAUGUGAUAUCUACCAAAUUUCAGGAGUAUGUGCUUAGUUCUACAGCUUUGUUUAUAGUUUUUUUGUACUUAUGAGUCAUGAUAAAAACUCAUUUUUAUAUUUGACCAUUAAUAAUAGGUGCUUCGUAUUUGCAAGUCAAGUGUGAUUGGUCUGAGUAAACGUUCCUUAUUGUAAAACAUGGACAAAGCUAUAAUUGCUACAAUCAAAUGUUGUUUGUCAGUUAGUUGUUUUGACUUCAAUUAGUUAACCUAUUAAGUCAUAAACUUAUUUCCCGAGAGGUUAUACAUGAAUGGCAUAUACUUAUUAUUUAUUUAUUUUUAUCAGAAUUGGUCAAGAGAGCCUGAUGGAAGAUAACUGGCCUGAUGAAGAUAUAGAAAAUGAAUUGUCUCCUAUUGCUGUACAAUUGGGCUAUGUCCAACAGGUAGGAGUUUUGAUUUCUCAAAAUUAUUUAUCUUAAGCAAAUUUUACUUAUCUCAAGAGUCUGUAAUUUUAAUCAAUCGUUGAUUGGCAGCUUCUUGGGCGUAAACAAGAUGCUAUUGAAGCUUAUGUGGACAUGAUUAAACGAGAUAUGGCCGAUGAAUCGUCCAUUGCAGUUGCAGUCAAUAAUCUUGUUUCCCUGAAAGGCCCAAAAGAUGUUUCUGAUAGUCUGAAGAAACUUGAUCGGCUAAAAGAGAAAGAGAUGCAAAGCUUUCGCCUAGCUCAUGGAUUGGACUUGAAACUUUCAGCAAAAGAAAGGGAAGCAAUAUAUGCAAAUAGGGUUCUUUUGCUUCUUCAUGCUAACAGGAUUGACCAGGUCUUUUAUCUGUCUUCUUGUCCUUAAAUCAUCAGUCAUAUAUCAUCAUCAUCAUCAUCAUCAUCAUCAUUAUUGUUAUUGUUGUUGUUGUUGUUGUUGUUGUUGUUGUUGUUGUUGUUGUUGUUGUUGUUGUUGUUAUUAAUAAUAAUAAUAAUAUGGUUACAUCGCAAUCUGUAGGCUCGAGAACUUGUUUCUGCAUUACCAGUCAUGUUUCCUGAAAGUGCUGUACCAGUAUUGCUGCAAGCUGCCCUCUUGGUUAGAGAGAACAAAGCUGGAAGGGCUGAGGAAAUACUGGCACAGUUUGCUGGAAAGUUCCCUGAGAAGUCCCAGGUUCUUUACUUAGCCAGGGCUCAGGUUGCGGCGGCAGCUGGCCACCCACAUAUUGCUGCCGAUUCUCUAACAAAGUUACCAGAUAUUCAACACAUGCCGGCUACUGUUGCCACCCUUGUGUCUUUAAAAGAACGAGCCAACGAUGUUGAGGGUGCAGCUGUUGUGCUUGAUUCUGCAACCAAGUGGUGGUCUAAUGCUAUGACUGAGGACAAUAAGCUUAAUAUUAUAAUGCAAGAGGCUGCCUCAUUCAAGUUAAGGCAUGGAAGGGAAGAGGAUGCUGCUAAACUCUAUGAGGAGCUCGUUAAAAGUCAGGGAAGCAUAGAAGCGCUAGUUGGGCUGAUAACAACAGUUGCCCGUCUUGAUGUUAUUAAGGCAGAGCUAUAUGAAAAGAAACUAAAGACCUUACCUGGAUUGAAAGGAAUUGAUGUGGACGGCUUGGAGCGUACUUCUGGAGUUAAACAAGUUGAGGGUCCUCUUCAUGCAGGUGUUGCUGAAACGAACGACGAAGGAAAGAAUAAGACAAAAACUAAGAGAAAGAGAAAGAGAAAGCCAAGGUAUCCUAAAGGGUUUAACCCUGCAAACCCAGGUCCUCCACCAGAUCCAGAAAGGUGGCUUCCCAAGCGAGAGAGGUCAACUUUUAGGCCCAAGAGGAAGGACAAACGAGCUGCUCAAGUUAGAGGCUCACAGGGCGCUGUAGUUAGAGAUAAGCAGGAAGCUGGUGCUUCUUCCAGUCAUUCCAAUCCCAAAUCAAACCAGGCAACUUCCUCCAAAGGUGCUACUCAGAGUGCAGUUUCUGAGCAAACCAAGCCUUCAUCCAAGCCUUCAUCCAAGUCUAGAAAGAAGUCUAGGAAGUAAUAAGGAUUUGUGAUUUCUGAUAAACAUUUUGUAUUACUAACAUUUUGUUGUUGCUGCUUUCAAUGACUGAGGGUCGAUAUACACUAUGCGAGUUCAAUCUCAAAACCAUCAAUUUUGGUUCAAUUCAAACAAAUGGGUAUAUUUGUCUAUUUGAUGCAAGUGUUAAUGUGCGUGUUUGGUGCAUUACGUGCAUGCAUAUUUUUGAUAGAUUCUUGAUCUAGCAACUCACUAAGCAGCUAAAACAAUUGGUUUACCAUUAAUUCAGUGGUUUGUUUUUGUUUACUUAUCCUUUGUUUUUUAUUGGUACAAUAUUCCCUUAUGCGAUAUUUACUCCCAUAAACGGAUGCUUAAGAAACUUGAGAAGGAAUGGUAAACUCUCAUUGGCAUUCUUCAAGGUUAAGCUUGAAUAUUUGCAUAGCAUAUAAUAAUAUAGUUCUCAUAAUAUUUGUUAGUUGUUGGCUACGCUUAAACACCAUUGUAAUAAUAAAUUUUAUGUAUUUCGUUCUGAGAAUAUUAUUAUCCAUGUUGUUAACAAGUACUGUUAUUUCUUAAGGGUGAAUGAAUGAGGAGAAUUACAUAUCUGAGACUAAUUUACUCUGUCAAAUUCUAGUCUGACAUUUUUUAAUCACAAUCUGAGAAUACGGAUAGUAUAUGUGUAUCUUUAUCUCUUAUUUUUUAUCUUCCACAACUUACACGGAUUUCAUAAAUACACAAAUAAAAUGAUAUCGUAUAUAAAUAGAAGAGAUCUUUUUAUAUUAAAAGGUAAAUAUUAUUUAACAUAAAAAAAAACUAUGUUUGCAUAUUAUUUCUCUUUCUACUUAAAAGGAUCUCUUCCAUUUAUAUACAAUGUUCCUUUUAUUUCAUUUCUCUUGUUGGUUCUGGAGUGAGGUUUUACAUCUUAGCCUCUUAGGUAGUUUUUAUUGAAGUCAAAUUGCAAUUCUUAUUUAGUUGGAAAACAAUUGUUAUGAUUGCUUCAUUAUGCAUAUUGGUUAGCGUAUCAAUAUAUCCCUUUAAUGGUAAUAAAUUUGCUUUGUUUAUAAGAAAUGUAUUUUUAACUAGCUUUUCAGUGAGGCCAAACUCUUAAAACGGUCUAAGUUAAACCUUAAAAAAAUGUCUAUGAGACACACUCAUGUGAUUUAAGCUUGGGAGAAAGGUAACCUCAAAAAAAAGAAAGGUAACCUCAAACCUUAACAAGGUAAGUGUUUUGGUAUGAUAGAAUUGAUUUUGGUUAAAUUUUGGUUAAAAGUGAGUAGAUAUGAAUUGAUUUUUGUUUGGAUAAAUUUAUUUAAAAGUGAUUCUUAUAGUGGAUGUUGUUUGGAUAAUUUGAAUCAAAAUUGAUUUUGAAGUGUAAUGACCAAAUUAAUCUUUUAAUUGUAUUUUAAAAUAAACACCUCAUUCUCAUUAGAUAAUUAUUUCAACUUAUUAUAAUGGAUUUUUUUUUUUGACAAGAUCAUAAAUGGAUUUUAUUUCUUAAAAAAUUCAUUUUAAAAUAAUAUUACUUUAUAAGAGUCAUUUUUAAUAAAAAAAAUUUAUCAAUUGGACGAUUUUUUAAUACAAUAUAAGCUUCAAAACAUGUAAUAAAAAAACAUCCAUUAUAAACGAAGGGUGCGGUUAUGGUGCAUAAGGAAAUCUUUAUGCACCCUACAUAAAUUCAGAAAUGGUUUUGAAGUACAACUCACAAAAACCAUUUCCACAGCAAAAUGGUUUUGGCAUAAUUUUAUAUACAAAAUAUAAUAUGAUAUAUACAGGGUGCUGGAAACCAUUAAGUACAUCUAAUGGUUUUGGAAUACAACUCAUAGAAACCAUUUCUGAAUUUAUGCAGGGUGCAUAAUAAUUUCCUUAUGCACCAUAACCGCAGCCAUAAACGAACAGUGAACCGUAAUAAAUAAAAUGCAUACCUACCACAAAAAAAUUGAACAGUGUAUUAGAUUUUUUUUUUUGGGGGGGACAUUAAAUAUAUUAUAUUAUAUUAGAAUCCAUAUAUUAUAUUUAUAAAAAAAAAAAAAAAAAAAUCAUAUAUAAUUUAUUCAAAAAAAAAAAAUCAUAUAUAAUAUUAUUUUAAGUUAAGAUAAUGGGCUAGUUGCAUACAAAAAGGAAUUCAUCUCCAACCUUCGGAUUGGCACUGUUGCAACACAGAAAGAACAUGAGCGUUCGCCGCAAAGGAAUAACGAAAAGCUCAAGCACAAGCAGUGAUAUCAAAAAUGUAUCCGAUACAUUAUGGUUUUUGUCGUUUGAUUUAAGUUAAUUUAUUAUGUUUUUUUCCUCUUCUCUUUGUUUCACUUUUAGAGUAAAAGUUGGCUUCGGAGGGGGCAAACAUGAGAAAUUAGGAUAUAUUUGCUUUAUCUGUAGUUUAUGAAAAGUUUUUUUGGAAGAAUUGAUUCUGACCAAACGCAAAAGCUAUGAAUCUGAGCUUCAGGAAAACUGACGUUUUGAAGCAAAAUCACGUUUUACAAACUCACUUUUUCAUUCAUCCAAACAACAUGAAAAAUUGAAAAACGCAGUUUAGAAACAAAAAAACUACGUUUGGGAGCUGAAAACGUGGUGCCAAACACCUAACAUAAUUUAAACCAUAUAUAAAUGGAACUUAACAACUAAUUAGUGAUUGCAGAACAGUAAUUGCUAGUGAUUUAUUUCAUUUAAGCUCGAUCGAAUUGAGUAUGGAAAGGAACGAAAUAAAGAUUGGUUUUUGAUUAAAGAUAUGAAAAUAGAAAAGAAUUACAGUAGUAAAUUGGAAAUGAAAAUAUUAUAUAAUAAAAUCAAAUAUAAUUUCAAGUUUGUGGACAAAAAACGGAGUAAGAAUUUAAAUAGAAACUAGGUUGUAGCACUUUCUAUAAUGAAUUCGAAAACUGAAAUGAUAAUGACCAAACAACAUUGUGGGAGGAGAAGAAGGUAUGAGACAAACUCUAAUCAACUCCUCGUGAGCCUCAUGGUUCACCCGCGUGCCAUUUGAUUGCACACCAACAUUAUCUCUUAACCAUGUAACCAUCCUAACACCUUAUGCUAUCAUAGUUCUAACAUUAAUAGAGGAUAGAAAAACACGAAAUGAGUUUUUUUUUUAUUGUUUUAGAUUUUAGUAAUAUAAGUCGUUUACGUUAAUUAUAAUUUAAAAAAAUUAAGUUAUAUUGACACAUUUAAAAUUAAAUAUGUUUGAACAAUUUGUAAAUUCAUCAACCUAUAUUUUUUUAACAAUUUAUUAAAAUUUGUUUAAACAUUUGAAGAUAGUUAUAUUUUUUCUGAAAUAAAACUAAUCAAAAUUUUGGAUAAAUCAUUUUUAACAUUUUCAUAGGUUAAAAAGUGAAAUUUACUAAGGAAAAAACAAAUUAAAACUCAAGAUAAAACACUUAUAAUAUUUUCAUAAGAUUUAUUAUGUUUUUAUUGUUUUAGAAUAUUUGCAUGAAUUAAAAUUUAAAAAACAUUUCAAGUAAUAAUAAUAUAAACAUUUAAAAGUUGAAUAUGUUUCUUUCAAAAAAAAAAAAAGUUGAAUAUGUUUGACUAAAUCAUCCUUAUUUAUUAAUUUUAUUAGGUCUGCAGCAAUUUAACCUAAUUUUUUCCCUCAUAAUACUAACCCUAAUUUUUGUAGGUUUGGCUAAUACUAACCCUAAUUUGUAGGAGUUUUUGUUACUUCCUUCAAAUAUAUUAGCAAGCAACAAAUUUUACUAUUGUUUAUCAGCUAUAUACCAAUUAAAUCAUAAACCCUAAAUCGCAUAUCUUCUCCGCCAUAUAUUUUUAUUUUCUGAUUUUUGCACAUUAUUUUUUCUCCUCUAAUCCUUUAUUUUAACAGCUAAUACUAACCCUAAUUUGUUAGGUUUCGCUAAUACUUUUGUAGAAGUUUUUGUUACUUUCCUCAAAUAUAUCAGCAAGCAACAAAUUUUACUACUAUUUAUCAGCUAUAUACCAAUCAAAUCCUAAACCCUAAUUCGCAUGUCUUCUCCUCCAUAUAUUUUUAUUUUCUGAUUUUUGCAUAUUAUUUUUCCUCCUUUGAUCCUUUAUUUUAACAGCUAAUAUUAACCCUAGUUUGUUAGGUUUCGCUAAUACUAACCCUAAUUUGUAGGAGUUUUUGUUACUUCCCUCAAACCCUAAUUUUUUUAGGUUUGGCUAAUACUAACCCUAAUUUGUAGGAGAUUUUGUUACUUCCCUCAAAUGACACUAUUGCAAGCUCUCUAUUGUUGUUAUAAAUUGAAUAAUGAGAUGGUUACAGUAGAGGUUUCAUUGUCAUUACAUAUUGAAGAAUUGAAUGAGAGUAAUUGGCAUGAGAAAAUAAAUUUAUUGUUUAUGUUGAAUUAUUUUCUUAUCUAUGUAAUGUAUCAUAUUGCAAUGUAUUAGUUUCUUCAUUGUUUAUGAUCCGGACGGUAGCAAGGAUAAAAGUUCUAGUAGGUUGAUUAAAUAUGUUUUGGAAGACCCCUUAAAAAAAAUAUGUUUUACGAUUUAUUAAAAUUUAUUUAAGAAGUCAUCAAAGAGUUUUUUUCUGUUUUCCCUUUUGUUAAAAAAAGUUUGUAACACAUUGUAAAAAAAACACAAUUAAUGUUCAAUUUAUCUUGUAACAAAAAAAUAAUAAUAAUAGCUUUAACUUACAAAGGUGAAGUAUAAUGCAGAUAGAGCUGUCAAAACAGACGGCCCGACCCUAAACGGGUCGGUCCUAAUGGGCUUCAGGCUUUAUCGGAUCGGGCAAAAAACCGGUUGAAAAACGAGCGCGGACUAACGGAUCGGUCCGUAUUAAAAAUUAUUAUUUUUUAUAUAAAAAAGUACUAUAGAAUACUUCUAUAAUUUUUUCGGUAAAUAAUAUUUUUAAUAUAUUUAAAUAAUGUCUAGCAUAAAAAUAAAUUGUAAACAUUUUCGCACACUAGUCGUAAACCAAUGCAAGCAUUCUAAAACUUGUCACCUAAAAGGUGCUAAUACAAUUCUAAGAUACAUUAGAGGCAUAAUUGAUUAUGGUGUGCUAAUGCCUAAUCAAAGAAAUGCCUAAUUCAGAUUCUGAUUGAGGAGGUGAUCAGGAUGUUAAGAAGAGUAUUGCAUGUUAUCUCUUCAUGAUUGGUGAUUUGCCAAAUCAAUUUUCAACUUGUUAUCGACAAGCAGUUUGGUUCUAUCAACUUCAAAUGCAUUCAGUUCUUCCAACAUCAUUUCAAUACAAUGAUGCAUAAAAACGGCAGGAAAACAAUUUUAAAUAAAUUAGAUACGUUAUGAUUAUAAAUAUUUAUAUAUUCGAUCUUUAAAAUUAUAAAUAACGAAACGAUUAUAUAUAAUUUUAUAUGACAUUUAUAUGUGUUAAUUCAUUGAAUUUUCACUUUUAUUUUUUACUUUGAUAAUCAACUAAGUAAAGAAUUAUUUGAAAAAUAUAUAUAAUUUAUAGGAUUUUUUUUGUUAUGCGGGCUACCCGCGGCCCCUAACGGGUACCGGGCUUUUUAGGGUCGGGCUAAAAAGCCCUAUUAAAAUUCGGGCUCAAUAUUUAAGGCCCAAGCCCUAUAAUUAAUCGGGCUGACCGGUACGGUCCAACCCAUUUUGACAGCUCUAAAUGCAGAUACCUUUUAUAUAAAAAUAAAAAAAAAACUUAAAAAGCAAGGUUAGAGACCUUUUUUUAAUAACCCUUUGAUUUUUAAGGAAAUAGGUGUAUCAUAAUUUAAAAUUUGGUUGUGAGAUCAAGUGGCGGAGCCAUCAAUUUUGAGUAGUGGGGACGCUAAUUCACACCCACCUAAAAACACUAUGAUGUAAAUUAACAAGCUACAUCUACUUUAAAACACAAAGGUGUAGAUUAGCAAGCUACACCUACCUAAAACAAUAAUGUGUUAGUUAGCAACAUACACCCAGUUGGUUAUAUACACUUAUUUUUAUAAAUUUUAUCAAAUUGUUUAAACUCAUCUUACUAAUUUACACCCACUUUCAUCAUUCUAAGUAUUGUUUCAUUAAAAGUUUGUCUCUAUUAUAUGUUUUGUACUUUAAGCAUGUCGCAGUCUUUUUUUAAGGAUUUUUCUUAAGAUGGUUACAAAAUUGUCAUUCUAAUUAAAUUUAAUUAGAAUAGAAACAAAAUGGUGUUUUAAUAAAAUAUAAGUGGGUGUAGCUUGCUAAUUUACAAAUUCGUGUUUAGGUGGGUGUGAAUUAACAGCCCCUUAUAUAUAUAUAUAUAUAUAUAUAUAUAUAUAUAUAUAUAUAUAUAUAUAUAUCGGGGGCAUAUCAAGUGAGAAUGGAUAUGUUAUGUGAGAAUGAUAUGAAUUAUUGUCAGCCCUUAGAUUAGUUUGGACGGUGGAGAUUAAAAACUUUAAUUUAAGGAACACAUGUGUAUCCUCUCAUGGUAUUAUUUUUCCAUUACUCAUUCAUCUUCAUCACUGUCCCCUCAUCUGCAAAAGAAUGUUGUCUUGCUGCCUCACUAUCGCCGUUGUUCACUCCCACGUCGCCAUCUCUGUGAAACUUGUACCUCGCCGUUUCUCUUCAUGACCGUUGUCUCUCUUUCCACCGUGAGUCGAGAUCUGGAGAUGGCAUCAAGAACAACGUCGACGGAAUAGGAUAGGUGAGGCGGCGAGGCAAGAGUAGAUCAUGUUUUCACGUUACUCUUUGGGUUUUUUUCGUUUGAUUUUGUUCUGCUUUGUUACAGAGCUUUGAUUUGUUUCUGAAUUAUAAAAAUGGCCUUCAAAAAACAAAACCAGUCAAUAGAGCUUGAUGAAAAUUGCAGAUAACAACCUUAAAAAAAAAAAAAAAAAAAAAAUCAGAUCAGCGAUAACGAUGAAUCGGUAGUGGAUGAAUAAUACAUUAAGGUGAUGCACACGUGCUCUUUAAGUUAAAGAUUUUAAUCUCCACCAUCCAAACUAAUCUAAGGGUCGACAAUUAUUCUUAUCAUUCUCACAUAACAUUCAUUCUCACUUAAUAUGCCCCCUAUAUAAUAUAUAUAUAUAUAUAAACUUAUCUUCAAAACAUAGUGGGGGCACAAGCCCACAAAGAGCUUAACAUAGCUCUACCACUAGUGAGAUCAGUAUAGUCUAACUAAUAACGUUAUUAUACUAUAAAUGCGUUCUCCAUAACGGUUAAUAUUUUGUUGGCAUUAAUAUUAUAAAAUCUCUAAUAAUAUUCUUUGUAUUAGAAUAUCUUAAGUUAUACUCGAGCGUUUAGAUGAGAUUUGUCUUAUAAAUUAACUAAUGUUUUUGUUUGAAUUCAACUUUGGGUGCAUCGUCACUAAAACUCUUAUAGAGUAUGCCGUCUCAUUUGAAUUCCACAAGACUCGAUAGAUUAGUUUUCACAUUUGCGCGCAGAAGAUACUUGAUUUACGAGAAGAAGAAAAAAUAUCUUAAGUUAUUUCUUACCACAAUUUAUUAUUUUAGAAUAUCUCUUAGGAUUAUAUUUGAUAUUACUUUUUUUCUUUUUCUUUUUUCAAGAAAAGCUACUAUUUAUUAUUUAUUCCUUUUUUCUCUAAAAAAAAUAUAUCUAUUCCCUUUUUAUUCUUAUAACUUGUUCUUAAUUUAUGAUUGAUUCUAUGUAUCACAGUAAAUAAUAUUUAUUAUUUAAUACUUUAUAUUGUAUUAUUAAUAACAUUUAAGAUUCUCCGGUCAAAAAGUAUAUUCAGGAUUCUAUUCUCUCUAUAUAUUUUUUUCUAAUAAAAAAUUUAAGACGAGUGAAUAAUGCAAUAUUUAUAAAACAAAUCUACAUUUAUCUUCUCUUAAAGACAUUAAUUAAUGAGACUUAAACACGAGACCUUUCAAUUCAACAACUUCAAUAAAAAGAACAAGACAUAUAACUUUUUUUUUGGUCAAGGACAAGAUAUAUAACUUUACUAGUGAAAUAUAUUUCAAUAUAUGCAAAUAAAGUUUUUGUUAAAGGAAAAAUAAAAGUUAUGAGUAAAAAAAUAAUCAGAAGUUAUAGUAAAGUGGGAAUGGGAUAAUCAAACUUUGUUGAAACUUAUCUUUUGGCACAUGUUAUACUUCGAGUAUGUUUUAACUUUUAAUGACAAAUUUUGUAAAAAGAAAAAACUUUAAGGUUUUGUUUGGGAGUUUGGAGGGGAGGGGGGAGGGGAGGGUUUUGAAAAAAAAGAAGGAGCAAGUGAAGAAAUAAAAAACAUUGGGAUGAGAGGGCUUUGGAUGUUAAUUUUUUACUCAUAAUCCUCUCAUUUGGGGAACUUAAAAAUUAUAUUUGGGGAGGGUUUUGGGGGGUUAUGAAGGGUUUAUAUGAAUUUUUCAAAUUCAAUAUAUGUUGUUAUAAUAUUCUUAAAAUUAAAAGUAUAUUAAUCAUAAGUAUUAGUUUAUCAUUCUCUAAAAAACUGUUCUUUUAAAAAAAUGUGAAUUUUUUGUCUAUUUUCUAUAUAUUUCCAACCCUCCAAAGCCUUCCCCUUCCUUCCCCUCCAAACUCCCAAACAAAACCUUAAGGUCAAAUUGUUAGCUUAUAACAAAAAGUUUAUUUCCUUAAAAUGAGAAAAAAUACAAAUAGUUUCUUUUUGAAGCAAAAGAUAAAAAAGACAAAUAGUUUGUCAAUCCAAUAUUAAUAGAUUCAUAUUAAACUUGUACCUUUUAUAAUAAAUAUAUUUUAAAAAUUUUAAAAAUAAAUUAAAAUGAUAUUUAAUUUUAUCUUCUCUUUUUAAAAUAAUUUCAAUGAUAAUACAUAAUAUUUAUUGAUAUGCAAUUGGUAAUAUGAGCUUUACAAUUACUAUCAUCAUUAGGUAUGAAUUAAUUUUGGUCAAAUAGGAUAGAAUCUUUGUAGUAUUUUACAUGACGUAACAUGUGAUCUAAGGUAUACAAAUGUUUAACAAAAAGCACACACGAUAAGAAAAUGAAGAGGUGUAAACUAUAUGAUGAUGAAAGAAUCCUUUACCUUACCGCUAUUAACAUUUUAGAUGCGAAAAAAAUGUAUCAACAUAUUCGGUUGUUUCACCACGUGUCUCACACCAUUGAACAUAUUUCACCGUUACAUUUACUUACACACACACACACUCUCUCUCUUAUCCCAAUAAUAAAUAAAUAAAAUUAGAUAUAUUAAUUAAUAAUAUUAAAUAAAAUUGUCCUAUAGUUUCUCUCUAUCUAACACAUAUUUUCCGCGAACUCGAUCGGCAUCGGCAGAACCCACUCGAGGGGGAAGAAAAGAAAAAGAAAAACCCACCACGACACCAAUUCCCUCCGAUUUUUCCUUCUCUUUUCUUAACCACAUAUUUUCCCUUCUCAUUCGCUUUUCCCAUUUCCUUCUCAUUUCCAUCGCCCAAUUAAUCAUCAAUUAAUUAAUUAUUCAAUUAGGGUUUCGAUUCUUCAAUUCCUUCCUCAUUCUCUUAUCGCUCUUAUCAAUUCUUUCAUUCCUCAUAUCCUUUCUUUGAUCCUUUAUCAUCAUCCUUUCAUUCCCAGUAGAAAAUAAAACACCAAAAAAAAAGAGAAAGAUUCUAUUUUUCUUCAUCCUAUUCGAUUUUAGCUGUUUUUAUUUUUAAUUCUUGUUUAUUGUUUGUUAUUAUAAUUUGGUUCUUAAGAUUCAAGAAACUCUGUGAAGUUUUUGGUGCGUUGUUUUAGUUUGCUAUCAAUAAUCGAGGGUUUUCUUGUUAGAUCUAUUCCACUUCUUUCUUUCUUUUUUUCUCCAUUUUUAUUUUCUUUUUCUUUUUCCUUGUUAGAAUCUAAAAAAGAAAAGAAAAAAAGAAAAAUUGUUGGUUUGAUCGGAAUUGAUCAAAUUCACCUCCCCCAAAAAUUAGGGUUUGUUGUGGCUGAUUGAUUUGGUUAGGGUUUGUUGUAUAUAGAUAGAAACAAAGAGGAAAUUUAUGCGAUGGCAUUGAAUUUCUCUCAUCGACCGAUAUUUUCGGCUGGUUUGUCUGAGGAUAAUUUGAGAAUGGGAAAUGGGUAUAGAGUGGAAGGUAUUUCUGAGACUGGUGGUGGUGGUGGUGGUAGUGGUAGUAGUGGGGAUGGAUUUGGGAAUGGGUGGCAUAAUGUUGAUAAUUGUUUUGAUUAUGGUGGUAGUGAUAGAUGUGAUAGAGGGGGUGGUGUAAGUGGUGCUACUCAGGAUUCUGUUUCGAAGGAUAUUCUUGAUCUUUUGCCUUCGGAUCCUUUUGGUAUGGAUAUCAGUACGACGUUCACAGCCAUCACUGGAUGGCUGGAGGAUUUGGAUUUUGAUUAUGGUGGAUAUCAUGUAAAUGAUGAGAUUGGGACAAGUGGUGAGAAUUACCCUUUGUUUGCUGGGUUGAAUUUCAUUUGGAAUAAUGCUGUUAGGUUCCACACUUUUCCUCAAGGGGGAAAUGUGUGCAUUGAAGAGAAGGAUUUUCGCGGGGUGAGUGGAUUCAGUGAGUUUUCUCGUAGAGAAGCUGGAGAAGUAUCCUGCAGCGAGAAAAUUUUUCAUGGGGUGAGGGGAUUUGGUGAGUUUUCUCGGAGAGAAGUUGGAGAGGCUUCAUGCAUCAAGAAGAAUUUUCAAGGGAUGAGUGGAUUUGGUGAAUUUUCCAGGAGAGAAGUUGGAGAAGCAUCCUGCAGCUUUGGGGCUGGAUCUUCUUGUGACAUGGAUGCCGUUUUAGAUUUUAGAUGUGAUUAUAAAGAUGUGGCUAUUGCUAACGUGUCAGGUGACACGGACAUGGAUGAUGUGAAUUUCCUUGAAGGAGAUGAGCGCAUUCUUCAUUCAGUUAUAAAUUCGUCUCUUAGGUAUCUGGGUUUGUCUGAUCUUCUUGUUCUUGAGAGAGUAUGUAAAUCUCUGCAUUCUACUGUUCGUGAUCCGCAAAUGUGGACAAGUAUCCACAUUGACCAGCCUUUAAAUGAAAGAAUCACUGACGACAUUCUUUUGGAAUUAACCAAUAGGGCUCAAGGUCUUCUUCAGUGUCUGAGCCUGGUGGAGUGCACUAGGAUAACCGAUGAUGGUCUGAGGCGUGUUCUUGAAGUCAAUCCCAAAUUAAGCAAGGUGAGCAUGCAUUAGCUUAUUAUACUUUAUCAUUCUGGAUUUAAAAUGAAGCAUGUAUUGUGGAAUUGUAUACAACUAUAUAGUAUUUAAUAUGGUACUACCGUUGCUUUAUUUUUAUUAAGUGGUGAAUAAGUGAAUUGGAGACAGAAUUAGUUUAAACACUGUUGAUUCUUUUUAAAACUUAGAAGUCAGCAGAUCCUGUUUUGAGCAUUUGUCCUUUGCAUCAUCUCUGCUUUUAGUUUUUUCUUUAUUAUAGAAGUUGAUUUAAGGUUAUUCUAGAUUUUGCUCUAGGAUAUUAUCAUUUGUUGGUUGAGACGCAUGCCGAUUUAUUUGUAGGAAGUUGUUGAUUCUUAUCCAAAAUGAUUAAAUGAGCAUAUCCUUCUCUGCAAUUGUGUAUUUCUGUUGCUGUUUGUUUUCCAACAUGCAUUAGUAAGAAAUGCACCAUAUUUAUCUCAUUGUAGCUUUAGGUAUUAAAUACCUAUUUGAAGAGAAGGUCUGAAAGAAAAAUAGAUUGUGGACCAAGCAGUUGAGGCACAUUAUAACUGUUCCAACUGUCAACUUUGAUUCAGGCAAAAUUUUUUACUGGCCAGAUGCGUUUGGGUUAAAUGAUUCUUUUACAUUUGAUAGAUCCUGGCACUUUGAAAUAAAUUUACGUAUAUUAUUGGUAGUUUCAUAUGUAAUGUGAUUUAAUGUUGGUACACUUGGUAAUUACUGACAUUGUCUAACUGUUAUUGUAUUCACUUCUUUGAGCUUUGAAUACUUUCAUUCUCAUUGUAAAUCCAGAGUUCUUCACAUCCAUAUCUUUUUGCAAAUAACGAUGUAAAUUUUUUCUUUGGUUAACCUUUGCAGUUGAGUGUUCCUGGAUGCACAAGACUUAGUAUUGAAGGUAUUGUGGGUAUGUUAAAAGCUUACAACUCUAUGGGUACACAGAAGGUGAAGCAUUUACACAUAGGUGGCCUUUAUGGCGUUACACAAAAGCAUUUUGAACAAAUAAAGCUCUUGUUGGGCACUGACAAGAAACGACUGGAGAAUGCUCUUGACAGUCAACCACAUGAGAAUGCUCGUGACAGUCAACCACAAGAGAAUGCUCCUGACAGUCAACUACUAGAGCAUUCUCACAAACCGCACUUCUAUUGCCGCUGGAACUUGUAUCUGCCCUGCGAUGAUGAUCGGGACCUGGAUAUUGAAGUUUGUCCUCGAUGUCAGAAUUUAAGGCUUGUAUAUGAUUGUCCUGCAGAAGGCUGUCAAGGAGUUGGUGGGCAUGCCACUCAGUUGUGCAGGGCUUGCACACUCUGCAUACCACGAUGUAGUCAGUGUGGCCGCUGCAUCAAUGACAGCGAGUACGAAGAAACAUUUUGUCUGGAAUUGCUUUGCUCUCAUUGUUCUCAGCAUUUGGUCAAACCGUUAGAAGGGACAGUUGGAAAGAUUGCAUUAGUCAGCUCAGUUCUCCCCGAACAAAGUUAGGGCAUGUGUUGUGUCGUACAUUAUCAUACCAAAGAAGUCUUUUAUGAGGAAUUGUCCCCUUUUGAAGUCAUAGAAAUGCUAGGUGCUGCUUGACUUGUUUGGCAUUCUUUGUAUUUGGUGGGAAUCUUCCUGUUGUAGAGAAGUUGGAAAUUGAUCUCGACUUUGUUUCUCUGCUGCUACUUGAGUAACCUGCAGGAGCCGAAUCAAUUGCUGUGAUUAUGAAUUGCCUACUGCAUAGUUGCACUGUGAUCAUCGGGGCUGCAGCUGGAGUGACAUGCUUUGCAAUGAAACCUUUCAUUGGGUCACUUUCAGAUAAUAUUUGUGAUAUAGUUCUACUGCUUUACCAGUUUGAAUGAUCUGAUUUCUGGACUUAAGGUCACUUCAAUAACUGCACUGGUAAUUCACUGUUUCCGUGUUGGAGUCCAUGUAACCUGUUUAUUCUUGUUCCCAUCUUUGGAUAAGACAAAAAAAAAAAAAAAAUAAGUGGAUAAUAUUGUGAUGUCUUUGGAUCUUCACGUGUGUUAUUUUAGCUUGUAUCAAGUGGAACUCAUUUUACUGUGGAUCAUAAAAUGAUUAUCUUGGGAUUUUUUAGCGAAAUAAUUGUGUUGCAUAUUUAUAUCCUCUUGCAAAUUUGAAGAGGCUGAUUGUUGUUAUGUUGGCCUUAUGAUGUCUCUUCCAAAGAAAAGUAGUUAAAUUAUUUAAUAUUUUGAUCAUAAAUGUAAGUGUUGGUCAUCUUUAUUUAAAGGAAAAUGCUAAAAAGCAUGAAGGAAUUAUUUCAACAGGACAAACUAUAUUUUCAACCCACUAAUGUAUGGUCAAGCUGGCUACUCAUUGUUUGGUGAUCUAGCCUUGCAAUAAUAUGAGGUGAAGAACUUCCAUUGCAUUUGAUAUGUCAUGUCUGAUGUGUGCAUAAUAAAAUAAUUUAUUAUAGGAAAUAUGUAGUUUGGUGCAGUGUCACAAUGGUGGGUUUCAGCUAAUGUCUGCUACGGCAGUCAAUGUUACACGAAUGUCUUGGCAGCCAAGUUAAUUACUGUCCUACUAACAAAGUUAUUCUUCGUUGCUUGGUUAAAUUUAGGAAUAUGUUACUAUGCUUCAAGCAUGUGAAAACUAAUAGGAAGCUCUUGAAAAGCAAGUUGCUUUCUGUUGCCUGAGGUAAUGGAGAAACUAAGGCAUAAGUAACAUAGAUGAAAUGGUAUGGUCAAAGUCAUCCAAAACCCACAGAUUACGCUUUCGUUGCCUUGCCUUGUUUGUUUGAUUGUAGGCUUUUCGGAUGAUGCAAUAUACUUGACACCAAGGAACGCUCAUAAGAUGGUUUAAUUAAAAUUAGUUAUUGAAGUGGCGGGUAAGUAUAAAAUGACAUGUUUAUAUAUAUAUAUAAUUUUUUUUAAUAUAUUUAAUUUUUAAUAUUUUAAUUUAUGGUUAACUAUGUUUUGGAUCCCUAUAAAUAUUUGAACUUUUGGUUUUAGUCUCCAAUAAAAUUUCACUGACAAUUUUGAUAUCUGCUUUUUUUUUACAAAAGAGGGCAAAAGCUCAUUGAUCUCUACUUUUAUGAAUCCCAAAAAUAAGAGGAAGGUGGAAAAAAAUGUAAGCAAGAAUAUAUAAAAUUUUACAACGUGCCGUAUGCUAGUUGUUAUAGUUAAAUAUAAAACAUUUCUUUUAAGAAGUAUAUAUAAAACGUUCAUUAAAAAAUAAAAUAAAGCAUGAUAGUUUUUUUUCAAAAGAGAAAACGUGGAAGUUGUUUUUAUUAAAAAAUAAGCUAUGAACUUGACCUUAUUUUUUAACCCAUAAACAUGUUGUUUUAUUAAAAAAUAAUUAAAUUAAUAUCUCCAAAAGUUGUUUAUUCAAUCAAAGAAUGUGAUGAAUUAUGUUAAUUUCAAUCAAUAUCUAAUUUCAUUCAAUUAAUUUACAAUAGAAUUCAACUUCCAAUAGUGAUAUUAUUAGGCUAGACAUCUUCGUCUUAGUUUGAAUUUGAAAUCUCACAAUUAUGUUCAUGAAUUUUAAUGGUGCUUCACUUUCUCUCCCAAACCAUUCGUUUUGAACCAAAGCUAAAUAGUAUAUAUUAUUAAUUAAAUAUAAAAAUAUUAUAAAUUAUUUAAAAAUAAUUAAAAAUCGGGGUAAUCAAAUCAACCUAUCAUUUCCUCAAAAAAAAUAAAUAAUCUACCUUAUCAUUGGGAGUAAGGCUAUGCCCUUGGCCUCGUCACACACUUAACCAAAUCAUAAUUUGCAACCAAUACAAUUCAAGACCUGUAUUCUCUGAAAUGCAAUACAGAGAGACAUUCAUUUACUAUAAAUGACCAAAACUCAAUGAAAAAAAUAUGAUUAUAACCAAAACGAUCAAUGCAAGAUCGAAGUCUCUACUCAACUACACUGCCACUCUCAACUUGAAGAACAUUUCAUCUGAAAAAAGAAAGAAACAACUAAUUAAUAAUUACAUUCACACACACACAGGUGCACUAAAUUAAUUAAGAAUAUAAUUCAGUGUUGGAGGACAUGCAGACCUUUGUCCAUAUAAUUAACAAGUGAAGGCAAAUGCAUAAUCAAUGUUUUUCCAUUUGUUAAUUAUAAUUUAUAAACGACUAAUGCUAUACUCCCUCCGUCCCAAAUUGUAUGUCGCCUUAGGGAAAAAAUUUGUCCCAAAUUAUAUGUCGCUUUACAAUACCAAUACAACAUUAAUGUUACUUUUCCUAUUAUAACCUUAAUUAUUUAUUACUCUCUCUUCUUUCAAUUCUUUCAUUUCUCUUUUCCAUAUUAUUUAUUAAGGAUAAUUUUGUAAAACAACUCAUAAUAUCUCUUUUCCACACAAUAUUAAUUGCAUUUCUUAAUAUAUGUGAAAUGCCCAAAACGUCAUACAAUUUGGGACGGAGGGAGUAUCAUUUAUCAUUUCUAUUCAUUCCUUCUUCCUUUUCUUUUUUUCGUAGAAUCUAUUUAUUCGUUCUAUAACAAUCAAUUUGGUCAACCUUAAAUAUUUAAAACCAUGGCUCCCACACUACCUUAAUUCUGUCAAAAUAUUUUUUCACACGCAAAGCCAAAUUUAUUUCAUUCACUGUAAUUUAAGGUAAUCAUAAGUUCUAUAAAUUGAAAUUUCUAUGGAACCAAUUUUAUUCCAUGCAAAACAAUUACUAGUAUAUAUCAAUAAGAAGAAAACAAAAAUACUCAUUCAUAAAUUCAUAUCACUAUGGCAAAAACCAUUGCUUCACUUGUUCUAGUUUUCCUAGUUGUUGCAAUGCUGAAUGGCUAUGGUGCUGAGGGUGCAGGAAGAGAUAACCAACAUAAGAAAGAUGAUGGUGUUUAUAAAUAUCAAAAGAACACGCUUGCGUGUGUGCUUAUGUGUAAGAUGUGUGAUUUUGGUUAUCGUCCCUCUUGUGAUGAGUACGAUAGGUUCUGUACUCCUUAUGGGUUGUGUAUUCCUCAGUCUCCUCCUACUUAUAAUGCUGAUGUCCAAACAACCCCAGCUCAAAGUGGUUAUUCUGAAGUUCAAAACCCAAAUCCAUGAUCAGAGACUGUUUUCAUGCAUGGUUUGUGUUAAUGACAUCCAUAUACUAUUAUAUAAUUAUAUAAUGUUGUGUGAGAGUAUAUUAUAAUAUAAGAAUUAUAUAUAGAUAAAUAAUUAAUCACGUUUAUGUGCUAAAUAUACGAGUCUUGAGUUAUGUGUUAUUGAUUCCUCUUCUUUGAUGUUAGUUGAGGAACACACACACACACACACAUAUAUAUAUAUAUAUAUUGUAUUAUGGUGCCAUCUAUGUUAUAUGGAAUGGAAUAUUGAAAUAAAAUUAAUUUCUCUGGUUUACUUUCUUAAGAUCAAGGGGUAGUCUUGGAACAUCACAUUUAACAUAUCCCCGAUUUGUUUGUUAAAAGAUUUUCAAUAAUUGUUAUAUAGUCUACAAAUUGGUAGGAAAAGAAAAAAACUAAAUUAAUGCAGAAAUUUUAACCCACCCCAGCAGUAUUCUGCACUGUGGAGGUUUCAGUUCACACCUCAUGCAUUUGUUUAUAAAAGAGCAUGGGAGAAAAUCCUCUGAAAAUUUAUGGAUUUUAUUCUUUACUAAUUGAAUUAAUUUUAAAUGUGCCUACCUUAUCUCAAAGACUAUGUUGGGUUAAAUGUAUGUUUACUUCAAUGUUGCAAUGCAAACUCUUUACAACUUUAAUGAGUCUCAAUUUGGGUUGCUUAGUUAAGUUGACCUCAUCAACUUUCCCCUUUAUAAACACAAUUUUAUUUCUAAAUAAUGAUAAGAACCAAAUACCAUGAUAUCACAAAAUCUCCUUUUUCACCUUGAAUGUCAUGUAGAAGUAGAAGUGUAGAACACUAUUUUUUUCACCAACUGCUCUUAACAAAUUCUGAUACUGUGAUAUUUUGUUUAUCUAUACAACAAGCCAUUGUGAUUCUUGUUUGGCAUGUGCUUGUAUAAAGUUAUAAAUCAAGAAACUUGUGUGAUCCUUGUAAAUUUCCACAACAAACUAAAGAUGGUGGGAUUUAUUUUAUUCAACUAAUAAGUUUUAGUUCUUAAUCUUUAAGAGCCAAAAUCAAUGUUAUUGUUAACGAUGAUAAUGCUCAUCAUUUGUGAGUUUUCUUAUAAUGUUGGGAUGGAGAUAUCAAUGUUAUUCUAGAAACACAGAAUUCUAUGGAGCUUGAAAUGCUUUAACCUCCAAAAAUGAUUCUAACUGAAACUACAGUUUAGAACUCUUGCCUUAGAAUUGAUUCAACUCAACUUCUAUACAAACACAAUAAAUCAUUUAAGCUUCAACUCAAUUUAAACCCACUUUGUGGAUGGAGUAUUUACACGUUUUAACUUUCUAUGCUAACAAUAACAACUUGACCAGUCUUCUUGAAAGAUAUUCUUCAUUAAAAGUAUAACUUGUUUCUAAGAUACAAGAAUGCCAAAGGCAGUGCAGAAAAUUAGAACCAGAUUAAAAAAUUGAAUCAAUCCAAUUGCUCAACUUACAAGUUACAACAUGUAGACUAGAAUCAUGUAAAAAAUUCAACAUGACCUGCAAUUUCUCUGCAUAAUAGCUUUGAUUCACUAGCUAACUUGAUACUUUUCGCAAUUGCUAAUCCAGUCAAUUUAUGUGUAGAUGCAGGCUUAUAAGACUCUACCUGCUCUUCACACCCUAACAACAAAGCUUCCCUUGCCGGAAUCACGUUUUCCCACCAAAACUCUCUAAGAAUCCCAUGUAUUAUAUCCCAAUAUUCACGACUCCUGACGACACGAAAUAUAGUGCUUCCAUUCGGCGUCCAACAAUACAAAUCAACCCAUUCAAAAUCCAUAAUCUCCAUUUGACCCUGAACUUGAGGCAUGUAAUAGAAUGGCAUGGUUUUCCAUGGCAAACCUGUCUCAGGCUUACCCUUAUUAUAAGGACACUUAACUUCCAAUAUUCCGGUACCAAGAACACCGUCAGGCGACGCACCAAGCCAAUCAUAAGACUUCUUCGAAUGAACUGCAAACCCCAUCGAAGUCACUUCCCUCCCGGUAAUUUUCGUAUAGUUUUCAACAGCUACCGCCUCAUUCAGCACUCCCCAAUUCAUAGCAUUUCUUUGAACAGAUUCGACAAUUUGGGUAUCUGAUGCAAAUACUUUAUCAUGCCACAGCUCAGCACGGCGACUACCUUUCCAAAACCCUAAUGCAGUACUAAACGUGCUCGUUGUUAGUCUGUCCUUACGAAGGGCAAACCAUUCUUCUGAACGUUGCGGAACAUCGGCCGGUGCCGGUGAAGCAAAUGCUGUAAAUGAUGGAGGCUUAAUAAUCAAAGUUGUUGUUGAUGAUGUUGGUGAGGUAGUAGUGCAUAUGGAUAGAUUUCUAAAAUGAUCAUUUCCAUAUUUAAUUCUCGUAGGAAAUACUUUCUGAAGAAUGCCACUGAAUCUAAUCAAGCUGGAGUUGGUAGUUGCGGAUGAAAUCCUCAUAUCCAUUCAAAACUAGCACAACUAUUUUUAUAACACAAUACAAAAUGAAGUUAAAUUAUUUUCCUAUAAGCUAUAAGCUAUUUCCAUAUGUUUAUGUUAUCAUAAGUUGUCAACGGAUAAGCUCAAAAUAAGUCGAUUCAAACAUAGCUUUAGGAAAUUAGUAUGUAACAUGAGAUAACAUUUGUUGAAAUUAACGAUGCAAUUAAAAGAUGAACAGAGGAAAACCUUGUCUUGUUAAAUGUGAAAUAUUAAAAUAAAAUGAAAGAGGAAAACCUGGAAGAAUUUUUUUCACUGUUUCCGGCGGAAGAGAACCAGCUCCGUCCACGUUAUCCGGCAGGUUGAGUUCGGCGCGCCUCCAAUCCAACUAGAAGUGCAGAGAGACAGCUAAGAUGGGUUUCUUCAAAAUGAAGUGGAUUGGGGUUGGGGUUUAGAAUGUUUUUUUUUUUUUUUGAAGGAAUUUUUUAUUCUUAAAAUCCCAAAUAAAUAUAAGUAGCUUUUUAUUAUCUCUUUUUGUAUUAUAUCAAACAUAUAUAAAGUAGGGGUCGGGAUGCUUCGGUUAACCUAAAAAACCGAAUCGAACCGAAUGGAAAUUUUGAAAUGGUUCGAAAAAACCGAACCGUUUCAGGCAUGGAGCUAAUCGAACUGAACCAAAGUUAUAGUUCGGUUAACCGUUUUCUUACCUAUAAACCGAACCGAACCAAAACCAAUAUUUUGAACAAAAAUGUAUUUUUUUUUAUCCUUUUGUGGAUUUAAUUGUGUUUUUUUUAUCCAAAAGGAAAAAUAUUGUUUUAUUUACUUUUUUUUUUAAGAAUAUAAUUUUUUUAUCAAUAUUAUUAUUACACAAACCCAGUAAAAUAAUAAAUUUAAUGCAAAAUAUAUUAAGAAAUAAAAAUUCCAGUAUGAAAAUUAUUAUCUAUUAUUUUUUGAAAGAUAUGAAGUAAUAAUAAUAUAGCUUAAAUUAAUAUAAUAUAUAAGAUUAAACACGGUAAAAAAAAUAUAUAUUAAUAUUUACUUUCGCGGUUAGUUUGCUUCGGAUUUGAAAGAAUUUACUACGAUCUCUUUUUAAAAAUAGCUUACUCAAAACCGCUUAUUUUAUGCAAAACACCUUAUUUUAAAAAAUAGCUUAUUCAAAACAGCUUAUUUUAUGAAAAUACCUUAUUUUAAUAAAAAAAAACAGCUUAUUCAAAACAGCUUAUUUGAUAAACAACUUAUUUUCUGAAAAACAACUUCUUUUAAAAAACAACUUAUUUUUGAAAACAGCUUAUUCAAAACAGCUUCUUUUAUGAAAAACAGCUUAUUCAAAAAAGCUUAUUUUAUUAAAAAUAGCUUGUUACGAUCUCUUUUAAAAAUAACUUAUUUUAUGCAAAACAACUUAUUCAAAGCAGCUUAUUUUAUGCAAAAAAAACUUAUUUUAAAAAAUUGCUUAUUUUAUGCAAAACACCUUAUUUUAAAAAACAGCUUAUUCAAACAGCUUAUUUUUAUGACAACAACUUAUUUUAAAACAGCUUAUUUUAUUUAAAACAACAUAUUUUAUUCAAAACAUGUUUUGAAUAAGUUUUUUUUUGAAAAUAAGCUGUUUUGAAUAAGGUGUUUUUCAUAAAUAAGUUGUUUUUCAAAUAAGCAUUUUUUUUAAAAAUAAGUUGUUUUGAAUAAGUUGUUUUUUAAAAUAAGGUGUUUUGCAUAAAAUAAGCUGUUUUGAAUAAGUAUUUUUUUUUUAAAAAAAAUAUGCUAUUUUGCAUAAAAUAAGCUGUUUUUUUUAAAAUAAGUUGUUUUAAUAAAAUAAGUUGUUUUUAAAAUAAGGUGUUUUGCAUAAAAAAAGCUUUUUGAAAUAAGCUAUUUUAAAUAAGUUGUUUUUUUUGGAAAGAUCCAACAAAGAGUUCAAGUGGUUUCCUUAAAAAAAAAACAGUUCAAGUGGUUUGGUUCGGUUCGGUUCAAGAUGGUUCGGUUAUGAUUUAAGAACUGUUAAUAAAUUAACGGUUCAGUUCGUGAACCAUUAUAAUAGUUCGGUUAUUUUUGGUUCGGUUCGGUUCGGUUCAUGGUUCUUUUUGUCCACCCUAUAUAUAAGUUUUUUUUUGUUUUGUUAACAUAAUAUAAUAUUGGUACGAAGUUUCUACCGCCGCUUGACUGUGACUAAUCUCUAUCAUGAAAUUGUGAGAUACGCAAGGUAAAUUUUCACCUCCCAAUCAUUUUUUCAUACGCAAAAGCCAAAAAUUGAACAUCUAACCAAAUGAUUAAAAAUCCUAAAUCUCUCACGAGUCACCACUUAGACCAAUUUAUUGUUGAUAUAUAAGAAUUUUUUUUUUUUUGUCAAUUAGACUAGCGGUUAGAAAGUUCACAUUUUAAGAUGAAUAAGCGAUGAGCCUAGGGCAUAAUUCGAACUCCGAGAUUUGCAUAUUACAUUAUAUUAUCCUUACCAAUUGAGCAAUGCUCACUGAACUAAAAAGGCUGAAAACGGAAUUAGUUUUGUCCAUUAAAAAAACUAUAAAGGCUAAAAGCAAAACUUUUGAAUUCAAAGGAACAUAUAAGCACAAAAAAUGAAUUUUUUUUUUCUGCCCUUGUUUGUGUCCAAAAAUACAAAAAUGCCCCACUUUUGCAAAAAAUUGCACAAAUGCCCUACUUUUUCAGUUUUUCUGGUACCUUGCAACCCCCACUUGCGGGGUACCUUUAAAAAAAUUUUAAAAAAUUUUAAUUACCCCGCAAGUCAAAUUGGCGUGGUAUUUUAUGAUUUUUUUUUUUUAAAUUUUAUUACAUUGCAACCCCCACUUGCGGGGUAUAAUUUAAAAUUUUAAAAAAAAAAAAUUCAUAAAAUACCACGCCAAUUUGACUUGCGGGGUAAUUAAAAUUUUUUAAAGGUACCUCGCAAGUGGGAGUUGCAAGGUACCAGAAAAACUGAAAAAGUAGGGCAUUUGUGCAAUUUUUUGCAAAAAUGGGGCAUUUUUGUAUUUUUGGGGGCAGAAAAAAAAAAUCACAAAAAAUGAGGGGUUGAAGCCAAAAAAUAUUAUAAUUUUAAGGACUAAAAUUAUAUUUCAAUCAUAUGCUUAAACACUUGCGUUUAGAAUUGAGGGAGUACUAAUUAAUGUUUCAUUUUCAAAGUGAAAUUGCAAUUUUCUUCAACUAUUUAUUGUUAGAGAAUUGCUCUUCGUCUAUUAGUUUUUGAUCAUUAUCAUCCUAUGUGAGUUAACUCACAUUGAAAAAUAUAUCUGCGUAAGUUAACUCACGUUAAAAAUACAUCUGCGUAAGUUAACUUAAGCUCGGCUAUUUGAUAGAAAUGAACAAAAACAGAUGGAUGAAGAGCAAUUAUCUUAUUGUUAUAAAUGUACCGAAGCCCAAAGUAAAUAAAACUACAAGUUUAGGCCCAUGAAUCAAGCUCCACAUUUAUUUCAUAUUAUAUUUUGAGAUUUUAUUUUCCACCCUAUAAACAUCUCACAUGCCUUUAAAAUUUAUCUUUUUAUUUAGUUUAGAUUAUACAAUUCGAAGAAUUUAUGAUAUUUUUUAAAUUAUAAAAUCCGAACUUUGUUUACUCUGUUUUGUUCAUAUUCAAGGCAAAUUAUUUAUACGGUACUCACGUGAUUUGAAAUCAAUAUGAAAUUUAAUCAAUCAAAAAGAGUAUGUUGAAAAAUCCAUGUUAAAAUAUGUGUUAAUAGCAUUCAUCUUUUUGACAUUUUUAUUUGAUUUUUUAACCUUUCAUUCAACUCGGUUCAAUUAUGGUUGAAAGGACUAAACAUUCAUACAUAGGUUUCAGUAGUUCGACAUCAAGUACAGUUCCAAAACAUAGCACAUGAAGUUCGUAGAAACUAGCCACCAGAAGCUAGAAUAGACUUACAAAAAAAGGGUACAUUGGAUAUGGAGAUUUUCUGAGCUUAUGUUUUACGGUGGGGUUUAGCAUGGUAAAAGGAAAUUGUUUUCGAUCAUGAAAAAGUAUUUUUUGAUCAUUAGAUUAAUUGAAUAACAUAAUUUAAUAGAAGACUAUCAACAUAAUCUAAUAGUGGGGAUGGAGGGAGGAGAGAUAAUGGUGGUGAAAUAGAGUAUGAAAAAAAAUCUAGUGUUGAUAGUCUAUUAUUAGAUUAUGUUCUUCAAUUAAUCUAAGAGUAAAUUACACUCCACUCCUAUCAAAGAUGCUUGAAUUACACUCCCCUCCCCUUUAUGUUAAAAUAUACAUUUCCCUCCCUUGAAAAGUAAAAUUUAUACUCCCCUUCCCUAUAAGAUGCUUGAAUUACAUCUCUCCCCCCCCUCCUUAAUAAUUGAAUAUGGACUACAAUUUAAUCUACUUUAACAUAAAUAAAUAUUUUUAUAAUAUAUUUUAAUUUUGAAAUACCAUUUAAAAAAUAUAAAUUCGUUUAUUUAUAAUCUAAAUGUCAACGACAAUUAAAUUUAAAUAUUUUGUUAUUAAUUUUAUAAUUUAGAGUAUAAAAUUCACUUUUAAAUAACCAUACUUAAUCGACUUUAGUAAUUUUAUAAAUAGUUUAAUUUUAUUUUGGGUUGUUUCAUAUUUUAUAAUAGGCUUUAAAACUAUGUUAAUGAAAUUGUGAAUAAAAAAUAGAGAAAGAUAUGUAUUCAAAAUUUGAUUAUAUUAAAAUGAAUCCGCAAUGCUAUUUUUCUUUGAAGUGUGUUAGAUUAUUUUUUUGCUAGAUUUUUAGAAAUAAAAAAAACUAUUGAGGGACUAAAGCGUAGAUUUUAACUUAAGAGGGGAGGGGAAUGUAAUUCAAGCUUCUCUCAAGGGAGGGGAAUGAAAUAUUUUCUAAUAUGUUUUGAAUAAGAGGGGAGGAGAGUGUAUAUUUUAACAUAAGAGGGGAGGGUAAUUCAAGCAUCUUUGAGGGGAGGGGAGUGUAAUUUACUCUUAAUCUAAUGGCCAAAAAAUAUUUUUCCAUGAUGGAAAACAACUUCCCUUUUCCAUUCUAAACUCCACCAUGUUUUACGGUGGCAUUUAGGGUGGGUCAAUGGAAUACUUUCCCACCAUGACCCAAUUAGUAUUUAACCAUGAGAUCAACUAAAGAGUAUAGCUUUAUCAUAGACUCGCCACAUUGGAUAGUUUUUUCCACACUAUCUUCUACCUCCAUCUUCUCUCUCCUCCAUGUCCCCACUCAACCACCACCUGUAGCAAUCUCCAUUUCAGUUGUGUUUGAUUUCUCUACAACUACCAAAUGAUUUUCACAGCCAUACACAGAAAAUCAAAAGCUUCUUUCCAAUGUUGAUAUUAAUCACCCUAAACACAAUCAUCAUUUGAAAAAGCUAUUUAUGUUAAUGUUUGAGAAAAAGCUAUUUUCUGAAAUUGACUUUAUUCAUAUGUUUACGUUAAAAAAAGUGUUUUUGAUAUUUAUGUGGUAGAUGUUUAUGUAGUUUUGCUGUUUCUCGUGAGGUUGAAGAUGAUAUGAAAAAAUAUAUGAUGUGGGUAGACCGUCUUAAAAGUUGUGUGCGUCUUUAAUCUAUUGGUAAAAAAAAAAAACUUUCCUAUAAUGAAAAACUCUUUCCCCUACCUACCCUAAAUGCCACCAUGUUUUACUAUUCAAUCUUCAACUCCAUUGUGUCGACAUUAUGAUUAAUUUUCUGGCUGCAUUGCUUUUGAAUACAAUUCCACAGCCGAACAGGACAAAAACAUUUUUCUAUAUGAAGAACAAGAUCGGCAAUUUACAUGCACCCUUUCUUCCUCGAUUGUUCGUAUAUCAUCUAUCUCACGAUCAUUGUCAUCCAUAAACUUUGGAUUCUGCUUUUUAUUAUUCCUGGUUUGCUCUCCACGUGAAUGAGUUUUCUUAAUCCAUCAAAUGUCAAAGUCCAUCUAAGAUAAAUGUUUUCCUUGCUCGGGUAUAUGAUUUACCUUAUUUAAUGAAAUCAACCCCUUCUAAUUGUGCGGUGUCUUUAUAAUUUCACGUCUUAGUACAAUGUUUAUUUAAUUUAGAUAAAAAGAUUAAUUUUGAUCAAAUGCAUAUCCAAUAAAUAAUUUUGACGUCGUCAACGUAUCAAAUCCGAAAAGAAGCGAGUAGUCCGAAGAUAUUAAUAUAGUCAUAUUUAUGAAGACAUUAGUAGUUUGAAUAAACGAAUAUAUUUCAUAUUUAUAGGUAUAUGUACUUCGUCGUUUUAUGCUAUUAACAUAAAUAUUGUGAGUUUGUUUGCAGAUUCAUCAUUUUUUAAAGACUUUAAAUUUGUAUUGUGUUGAUGUACUUUAUUAUUUUAAAUGUAUGAAUAUCAUUUGUUUUUGUUAAAAUAAUUAAAAUAUAUCAUUUCAUGGCUUGUUAAUAUUUAAUAAAAAAAAAUUGAAUAGAUGAAGGAAAAAAAAUAGUACAUCCAUCCUUAAAUAUAGGAUGUACUUGAAAUAAGAAAAAAAUAUCAUUCUCUAAUAAAUUUGUUAAUAUUACAUGUCCAGUCAAAUAAAUUUCUCAAAAGAAAAUAAAAAAUCCAGUCAAAUAAAUGAUUUAGUGUGUUACAACAAGUGGUCAAUAUAUCCCUUAAUCGAUCUCUAUCUGAAACAUUGUAAAAAGACUAAUACCGACUUUUUUUUUUUUAACUAGCAAAAGACUAAUACCUACUUGAGCACAAGCACUAAUCAUUUUGAUAGUUCAAGGAUCGAUCUCUAUCAUUAAAGUUUGCUUUCGUAAAACUCAUUUGAAUUGGUUUAGUGGUGUUGUUUUUGAAAUUUAUGUAUCUUUUAAAGUUUCAUGUUUGAUUACUCCGUAUUAAUUUCGGUGAGCUAUUUCAUACAUAGCAUUACUCUAACUUUAAAUUGAGCCCUAGAAGUGAACGGUAAGAUUGCUCUUAAAGAUAUAUUUGUGGAAUGAUAUCCUAAAUAAAUUUUCUUAACAUUUUUUAUUCUUAACAUUUGUGGAAUGAUAUCCUAAAUUUGACCAAAUAAAGUUUCAUGUGAAUGACAAUUUUAUUCUACCAGCAACAUUAUCUUUUUAACAUUAUCUCUGCCACUCACUUUUUUAUUGACUUAAAUAAUGGUAGGUCUCAUAUUUUAGAAAUGGAUUUCAUUCAAAGUGGUGGAUCAUACAAUGGUUUCAUCCAAUAAAAAAAUGAACGUUGAAGAAAGGAGAAUUGAUGUUCCCACAUUACAUAAGGCUGUGCCACACGAGUAAAAGACCUUUUUGCCCCUCGUCAGUUAACUGCCGAAGUUUUAUAAAUCCGGCUGCAGUUAACUUCCGAGGAAAACCUCGGUAGUUAACUGCCGAUGAAAUCUGAUUAUGCAGGCAGUGAGCUCUGCAUCAUUCUAAAACAUUUCCAAGCCUUUUUUCGGCCAGUUUUUACCUGUAAUUAAACCAGAGCAUUUCGAAAGGCAAAACAAUUCAUACAGCAUUGAAACUCGGACAUAAACAAGAUAAAUACAAUAUCUUUUACAAUUGUCCAUAAUUAAAUCAAACCGACAUUUUGUUCAAAUUACACAAACGUUUGAAAUUCAUCAUAAUAGUUCAAAUAACAAAAAAUAUUGGCGCAAUUGCACAACUUAAUUAAACCAACAUUUUUAUACAUUAAACAAAGUAAAAAAUCUCAUGAAAUUAAAAAUAAUGUCAUCAAAGCACAAAUAUACAAAUAUACAAAUCAAUGUCAUGAAAACACCAAAAUUAAAAAACAAGUCCUAAAAAUCAAAAUACUACUACUGGUCCUGGUCCUGGUCCUGCUGAUGCUGCCUCCUCCUCGGCCCCUGGCCUCGCCUCCUGGUCAAAAUCAGCGCGAUCUGCUCCCUCAUAUGGCUCAUGGCCUGAAACCACUGCUGAGGGGUCAUGCUCAUGACCUCCUCCUGGCCUAACUGCGACAACACCAUAAACCAUGUCAUAGGUUUCAGGCGAGCUUCUCGCCUCAUACCGCUCUCACUGCUCUGCAAUGAUCUGCUCUUCAUUUGCAGGCCUCAGAAGAUCUCCUGAAAGAGGUGGCAAGAUCUGAGGGUGAGAUACCCUAGUGUACCAUAGCACAUAGCCAUCCGCCAUCCGCCAUGUCUGCUCUCCUGCCUGCUCACCCCAAUCGGCCGCCUUAAGCGUGUGAGUGCGAAAGUCGACGAACGCCUGCACAAUGUAAGGCGGUGGGAGGUCUACAACAUCAGUCGGAUGUCUGAGGAUGGUCUGGACGUAUUCGUACUGCCUCAAAACCCUCUCGGGCAAGUGAAGGUACACCAUACAGACACCGCACAUAAUCCAGCCAGAAUACCAGAAAACCUCCUCAAAGUCCUGGAUCUCCCUAUGCUCUACGUAAGGCCUCCAGCAUACGUCAUCAAACUGUAUACGAUCAAGCAGCGACCGAUACGUGACCCCCCUCCCCGUGACCCUUCUGGAGCUUUCACCUCGCUGCAACCGGAUAGUUUUCCAUGUAGUCAGUGUUGGGAUCAACACUGUAAAAAACAAGAAAAUGCGCCAAAAACCAUGUCUGCACAAACCAAACAAAUAACAUUUAGAAAUUAUUACGCACGGAAAAUAUAACAAAAAAAUAAAAGUUAACAAAAAAAUAAAAUAUAAGUUUUCUUACAAUGAGCAGUGUCACGCUCCCCCCAAGAGCUCUGUCUCCAGGCCUACACGCCUCAUUUAACUCGCCGUAUAGGUAAGCGAGUGUCAUCCCUCUCCAUGAAUAAUUACGCAUCCCUGCGUAGCCGUCCUCCAUGGUCGUCAGAUAGACCAACUCGAUGCGCUUGUUGCUUCUAUCGCCAAACAACAAGCAUCCGACCAAGUAGAGAAGGUAACACCGGACACAAUAAGUUCUAACCUUCACCAGCUCCUCAAGCUCCUCUGGAUCCUCCGUACCAGCCAAUAAGUUGGCCCUACCAAGGUACGUCGUAUAAAAGUCCCUCAGCCUCGGAUAGCUAAUGUGCCCACCGUACUCCUGCCCACAAAUAUUUUCCGCCUCCUGCUGCGACACACCCAGGUGCCUCAUAAGUAGUGCCGCUCCCUCAUGUUUCGGCAUCUUCUUCCCAUGACUCAACAUCCGCCCCUCAAUCGAAAGAUGUGUGAGACAUGCAACAUCAUCCAAUGUCACAGUCAUCUCCCCAAGGGCAUGUGAAAGGUGCUGGUCUCAGGAUGCCACCUCUCGCAUAGAGUCAUCAGCAGGGCAUGAGGCACGGUGGCGUAGCCCAGGUAAACCAAGUCAUGUAACCCGCUCUCCCUAAGCGGAUCCCAAAACCAAUUCUCAUUCCCGUUUGGGCGUCAGAGACUGAGGAUCUUAGCCCCAUGAUUAAUCGGUUUAACGACACGGAGCUUACGAACCUGAAAUAAUAGAAAAAUAAAUAUAGUUUAAACAAACACACAUAUAAAGAAAACAAUUAAACAUAAAGAAUAGAAUUAAAAAAACACAUAUAAAAGUGGAUAUAAUAAUUAAACAAACACACAUUUAAAGAAAAUAAUUAAACAUAAAGAAAAAGAAUUAAAAAAAACACAUAUAAAAGUGGAAAUAAUAAUUAAACAAACACACAUUUAAAGAAAAUAAUUAAACAUAAAGAAAAAGAAUUAAAAAAAAAAACACAUAUAAAAGUGGAUAUAAUAAUUAAACAAACACACAUUUAAAGAAAAUAAUUAAACAUAAAGAAAAAGCAUUUAAAAAAAUUACACUUACGUUUUUUGAAUUAUAUCAAAGCGGCAAUGCCACAUGAUUGGCAUAAGAGUGCAGCAGAGAUAUAAUUUCCGGUCCUCCAGGAAAGGGAGAGUCCACAGGUAACACCUUCGGUGCAGCAACUGUUGGAAUGUCAUCAUCGUCUCCUACAUGCUGCUGCUGUGGUAUAUGAUCCUGGUCAUACCCACCAUCAGUCACAUCGUGGUGUACCUGAUCCUGAUAAUUCAGGUACUCCACCCCAUACUAGUCAACAAGCUGUGAGGGGUCAACAACCUGUGUAGCCUGAGAGCUCCCUGAACCAUCUCCCCUCCGACCUCUACCCCUCUUUGGGAUGUGGUCGCUCUGCCUCUCCCUCCGGUGACUCUGAGUCAUCGCACGCCUACCACCAAUCAUCUUAGAUGGAUCAAUGGGGUCCUAAUCGGCCAUAUCUACACAAAAAAUAAUAAAAUUAACAUCAUUCAACUUAUACAUUCAACCACUUUAUCAAAAACACUAAACCUAAACAUAACCUAAACUUUCACAUUCAACCUAAACAUAACCUAAACAUAAACACUUUCACAUUCAACCACUUGACCAAAAUAAACACAUUGAUUGAACCUAAACAUUAUUAUACACACUAUAAUUCACAUUCAAACGUAAAUAAUCAAAUGCAUUAUCAUACACACAUUCAACCUAAACAUAACCUAAACUAAACAUAAUUCAAUAUACACAUUCAACCUAAUUCAAUAUACACCUUUUCAAUAUGCAUUCAACCUAAUUCAAUAUACACUUUUUCGAAUUACAAUCAAGAUCAUAUCCAUAACCUAAACUAACUAAAUAAUCAAUNGCAGGGCAUGAGGCACGGUGGCGUAGCCCAGGUAAACCAAGUCAUGUAACCCGCUCUCCCUAAGCGGAUCCCAAAACCAAUUCUCAUUCCCGUUUGGGCGUCUGAGACUGAGGAUCUUAGCCCCAUGAUUAAUCGGUUUAACGACACGGAGCUUACGAACCUGAAAUAAUAGAAAAAUAAAUAUAGUUUAAACAAACACACAUAUAAAGAAAACAAUUAAACAUAAAGAAUAGAAUUAAAAAAACACAUAUAAAAGUGGAUAUAAUAAUUAAACAAACACACAUUUAAAGAAAAUAAUUAAACAUAAAGAAAAAGAAUUAAAAAAAACACAUAUAAAAGUGGAAAUAAUAAUUAAACAAACACACAUUUAAAGAAAAUAAUUAAACAUAAAGAAAAAGAAUUAAAAAAAAAACACAUAUAAAAGUGGAUAUAAUAAUUAAACAAACACACAUUUAAAGAAAAUAAUUAAACAUAAAGAAAAAGCAUUUAAAAAAAUUACACUUACGUUUUUUGAAUUAUAUCAAAGCGGCAAUGCCACAUGAUUGGCAUAAGAGUGCAGCAGAGAUAUAAUUUCCGGUCCUCCAGGAAAGGGAGAGUCCACAGGUAACACCUUCGGUGCAGCAACUGUUGGAAUGUCAUCAUCGUCUCCUACAUGCUGCUGCUGUGGUAUAUGAUCCUGGUCAUACCCACCAUCAGUCACAUCGUGGUGUACCUGAUCCUGAUAAUUCAGGUACUCCACCCCAUACUAGUCAACAAGCUGUGAGGGGUCAACAACCUGUGUAGCCUGAGAGCUCCCUGAACCAUCUCCCCUCCGACCUCUACCCCUCUUUGGGAUGUGGUCGCUCUGCCUCUCCCUCCGGUGACUCUGAGUCAUCGCACGCCUACCACCAAUCAUCUUAGAUGGAUCAAUGGGGUCCUAAUCGGCCAUAUCUACACAAAAAAUAAUAAAAUUAACAUCAUUCAACUUAUACAUUCAACCACUUUAUCAAAAACACUAAACCUAAACAUAACCUAAACUUUCACAUUCAACCUAAACAUAACCACUUUCACAUUCAACCACUUGACCAAAAUAAACACAUUGAUUGAACCUAAACAUUAUUAUACACACUAUAAUUCACAUUCAAACGUAAAUAAUCAAAUGCAUUAUCAUACACACAUUCAACCUAAACAUAACCUAAACUAAACAUAAUUCAAUAUACACAUUCAACCUAAUUCAAUAUACACCUUUUCAAUAUGCAUUCAACCUAAUUCAAUAUACACUUUUUCGAAUUACAAUCAAGAUCAUAUCCAUAACCUAAACUAACUAAAUAAUCAAAAAAAUUGUCAUUGACACAUUUUAUCAAACACUUUGUGUGCAAAGUAUCAAACAUACUCAAAAUGUGUUACUCUAACAUCAUUCAAUCAUCAAUUAAAGCAACUACAUUCAAUUAUAAACUACAUGCACUCAUAAAAAAUUCAAUUCCUAAAUCAACUCUAACCACAUGAAAACUACCAUUUUUUUUUUUAUAAAAAAAACCUACCCAAACUAACAUUAUGAUUAAAAAUGAGUCAAGAUACUUACUUGUGAUUAAAUGGAGAUGAUGCACUUGAUUUUGCUUAAAAAACGAAAUUGGAGAACUUGCUUGAUUUUGGAAAACUUGUGAAAAAUUGAACAAAUUCAGAAAACUGAGUUUCUGCUUCUGUUUAUGGAGUUCAGUUCGCAUCGGCAGUUUACUGCCGCCGGUUUACUAAAACUUCGGCAGUUAACUGCUGAAGGGCAUUUAGAUAAAUUACUUGUGUGGAAGAACCUUAUCAAAUGUGUAAACAACAAUUCUCUAAAAAAAGUGUUAUAAAGAGAAUAUCUUUAACAUUCCUCUCUAUUCUUUACUGGAUACUUGUCUAAUCAUUUAGAGUUAUCAACUUCUCAUAAAUCAAAUGAAUAAGUUACAUACAACUAGAUAAUAAAGUGCCUAACUCAUGGACACCACAAAGCGCCUAGCUCAUUAUCAUAUUCAUAACAUACAUAAUUUAUAAGAGCUCACCAUAGUGUAGAUCAUCAUGUGAUUGAUCCAAUGAUAGUGUUUAGAGCUUCUAAGUUGUUUUAGGGUCAAGAUUCUCUCUUUUUUUUGUCAUCUCCAUUAUUUUCAAUAUCAAAGUUUUGGAAACAUAAAUACACUAAUGUAAUAUUUGAUUAUCUUAAUUAUUUAAUAUACACUUUAAAACUCUUCAAAAUUAUGACAACAAAGAGAAAAAUUAGAGAGAAAAUGUAGAGAAUUUUAACUCAUUAUUUUAAGUGCAUCUAGGCUUUUGAGAUUGAUUUUUUUCCUUCGAAUUAGUUAAUCUUUAAAUUGGAUAUCGAAUUUUAAAAAAAAAAUGUAUUUAGGCUUAUCCUUCAAAAAGUUCAGUUCGAGAAUACGUUCACCCAAUUUAGAACAUAAAUCACAAUGGCAUACCAUACAAAUAAGACGAGAUGAGAAUGAAUCGAUUGAGGAGAUUCCACCUAAGUCAAAUCCAAUACUACUUUGCACAUGCUAUGUUACAUUUAUGUGACUUAAUUUAGUAUAUUAAAAAAAGUAACAUAUAUUCUGAUAUAUGUCCCAAACGAAACGGGCCAGCCACCAUAUUGGCUUGGUAGUUGGUAUGGUGAUUCUCCUUUGUAUUGGUUUUUGCCUUGUGCCAAGCAAUUAACUAUGGCGGCAUCAUCAUUUCAUGAUAACCUCAAAAGAAUAUUUCAAUGGGGAUCAUCAAAAUCUAAAGUUGCAAUAAUCUUUGUAUGAAUUGAAGAAGGACCAUAUGAUUUGUUUCCCGAAACAAGUAAAUCACAUAAACUUUCUCUUUAAACGAGAAUUAGUCACGUGUGACCUUUACCUACGAUGUGUCAGUGUUUGGCCCCAUUUGGCUCGCAUGAGUUGGGUGUGUGGCAGGACACACGUCAAGGUCAAACAAACACAUGCUCAUUCACUUUGACAAUAGUGUGCAACCAAUUACAACGUGAAUUCCACAUACCCAUUCCUCUGAGCUGGACCUUUUCGUUCUUGGCUUUUGUAUUUUUCUUACCUCAAUCUUUAUUAGAUUCAAUGCUUUCUUUAAAUGUAAUUUAAAUUAAAAGUUGAUGAUUAGCUUAGUUUUGUUGUAUCUAAUUGGAAUAUUGUUGGCUCAUGAAGGGAGUUUGGAAGAAUCCACCAAUCAUAUAAAUAAAAGAGACACCAUCUGUUUAUUUAAAAUCUUAAAUAUUGAUAUUUUUCAAGUGUGAGUUCAUCAAUUUAUCGUGUUUACUUUUCCAACAAAAACUUUUUCAUUCACAUCCACAUACACUUGUACUUGUACUUGUAUUUGUAUUGUCGACUGAACAUCCUUGGUGGAAAAGAGUUUGAACACAAGAAAAUUUUUGUCGAAUCUUCACUUUGAUAUAACUGUUGAGUCAUGAAGAGAGUCUAGAAGAACAUUUUGUUAGGAUUUAAGCUCAUGAGGAGAGCCCAAUCCAAAAGACUAGUCCAAUAGGUGGGAGAACCUCACGACUUAAGUACUACAUCAAGCACUUUAAUCUACUCGAUGUGAGAGUCCUAACAUUGCCACACCCUUUAAGAGCCGACGUCCACGACAACUUUCACUCUAUCGGCAAUAACUCGAUGGCAGCCCUUUCCUUUUUUGGUGGCUUCACUCACCUAUCAGUAUUCGAUGGAACACCUUAAUCCAGCCUACAGGUAGCACUUUACGUGGUCCAACUCUCAAUGAAAGCAUCAAUUGUUAGGACUUAAGCCAUGAGAAGAGCCCAACGCAAAAGACUAGUCCAAUAUGUAGGAGAACCUCACGGCUUAAGUACCACAUCAAGCACUUUAAUCUACUCGAUAUGAGACUCAUAACACAUUUACAUUUGAUUAAAAGCAAUCACACACAAAUGAAUGACAUCAUAUUUUUUUAUUGAAAACAUUAUUGAGUUUAUAAAACUGUUUAGUUCACACUUAUCACACAACAAUAUUAUGUUUGGAUGAGUUGAUCCAAAGGAAAGACACAUCAAAUGUUUUGCUCCCUCUAAUCAAUUUAUCAUUUUAUAAGAGACAUUUCUAUCAAUUUAAAAUUGAGUUAAUAGGUCUUUACCCCUGUAAUAUAGGUCAAUUUUGAUUUUUUCCAUGUAAUUUUUUUUUGUCAGAUUUCAUCAUUGUAAUUUUUUUGUUUGUUUUUGAAUACCCCCUAGGCAUGCUGACUGUACAUUUUUGCUUAUGUUGCAUGAUGCGUCACCUUUUUCUGAUGACGUGGCGCGCUGACUGUAUAAUUAUUUUUAUUUUUUAUUAGGUACAAAUGGCAUUUGUGAUUUUUUUAAAAAUAAAAAUAAAAAAUUCUUAAAAAAUUAAUAAUGAUUAAAAAAAUCUUGAAAAAUUAAUUAAAAUUAUAAAAAAAUGUGGAAAAGAUUAAUAUAUAUUGAAAUUUUCAAUUUUUUUUUUCCAAAAUAUCAUAUUUAAAAAAACUAAAUUUUCGAAAAAAAUUUAAAUAAAACUUCUUACUUUUGAAAAAAAAAUAUGAAUUUUUUCCAUUUUUCCAGAAUUUUUUAAUUUUACCGCUAUUGAAAAAAAUCUGGAAAUAUGAUUUUUUUUUCUAAAUAUAUUAAUUUUUAGAAUUUUAUAUAUAUAUAUAUAUAUAUAUAUAUAUAUAUAUAUAUAUAUAUAUAUAUAUUAAUCUUUUCCAGGAUAUUUUUUUUUAAUUUUUCCCAAAUUUUUUCUUUUUACCAGAUUUUUUUAAUCAUUUUUUAUUUUUAUUAAUUUUUUCAUAAAAUUUCCAUAUUUUUUUUCGUUUUUAAUUUUUUUAUUAUUUUCAAAAAAAUUCACAAAUGCCACGUGUACCUAAUAAAAAAAAAUAUUCAGUCAGCGAACCACGUCAUCAGGAAAAGGUGACACAACAUGCCACAUCAGCAAAAAUGCACAAUUAACAUGUCCAGAGGGAUAUUCUAAAACAAAAAUUUUACAAAGAUGAAAUUUGACAAAAAAUUUUAAGGGGGGAAAAUCAAAAGUGAUCUAUAUUACAGGGGGUAAAGGGCUAUUAAUCCUUUAAAAUUUGAGGAAGGAUGAUGGAUUGAAAUUAUUAACUACAAUAUUGUUUAUACUAGUAAAUACUAUAAUGAUGUUAGAAGUAGCCAGUUCUAAUUACUAAAUCUGUGUGCCAAAUUCAUGAAUGAAAUAGAUAGAGGACACUGACUGACUUACCCAAUCGUACGUGCAUGAAUGCCAAGGACAUUGAUCCAACGUGUAAUGAAUCCACAAAAUAGAAAAAUAGAAAGAAGAGUGUGUGGGAUAAAGAUGAUGGUGAAACAUCAAAAACCAUGUGGCCUGUGGGGGAGUGGGAAUCAGAAUUGGUUAUAGUAUAAAGGAAAGUAAGACAGAAAAAAUUGUCUUUUUCGAUGUGUAAUAGUAAUACUAUAGUAACUACUAUACAAGUAAUAUUAUUAUGUUUAUUAACUUUUUCCUACAACCACCGUUACAGGCAAGAAGAUAAAGGAUAUCGUCACAGGUUGGCAUGGCGUCCCUCCAAAACACUGGCAGGGUUACAAAACAAGGUCUUGUGGUACGUUGCUGCUUGUGACUUUGUCCACUUGUAUCUUGCGAUACAUGGAAAAUCAUUGUCAGACAUAUUUUCUAAAAUUAAAAUGGUUUUAAUUUACAAUUACAAAUGCAACCCUGUACGGAAGAUGCAAAUGGAUGUGUAAUAGUGAAGUAAAUUGGAAAAAAAUCUAAAGCAACCAUAAAUAUUGAAUGGAUUUUUUGUCAAUUUUUUUUUUUUUUUGGAUGGAUUUGUAAACUAAAUUUACAAUUUACAUACGACUGAAAACUCCUUCCAAUGAGUCUCAUAGUUGUAUUUUUGUAAUACACUCUGAACUGUACAUGUCCCGUUUAGUUUUUUAGUUCUUCUAUAAGCUUUGGUCCUCUUUUACACAAAUUAAAAAUAUCCUUUUGAAAAAUAUAGUACAACAUGGGUAUCAUUGUUUUAUCAGUGUAAUUAUUUUGUUUUUCAUAAAAAAAAAAAGUUUUUUUAUUAGAAAAUGUUUAUUAAUAAAGAUUACAAAGGGUACUGAUCCAAUCCAAAAUGCAAGUGAAUACUACCAUCUACAACAAUUUCUUUUAAUGAAGUUAGAACAGAUGAACUUACAUUUUUUUUAAAUAGCAAAUGAACUUACAUGUUAUCUAAGUCUUCACAUCGAAUAACGGAAUUUGAAUGAGUUUUAAACUAAUUUACCAAUUAAAUUAAUGAGAUUCUAACGAGAUUCUCACAUCAGUUGCAGUCUUACUGACAUGAGUAGUUUAGAGGAUGUGCAGGAGGAGCAACUGCAUAUAGCUCCAAAUUUUAGGGGGCACUAAUUUUUUCUUCUUCUUCUUCUUUGUGUUUGUAUAUGUUAAAAGUAAAUUAUAAUAUAAUUAAUAUACACAUAUUUUUGGUUAGGCUCAAAGAUGCUUGCGGCGUAGUUUGAAAUAUAUUUUGAGGCAAGAAAAUCAUCCAACCUACAUGUUUAAAAAUGUAAUCCAAUCUAAUUAAAUAUGGUUUAAAUUGGACCACUUUUCAGUUUAUAAUUUUUUUAUAUUAAUAAUCUAAUAUUAUUAUAAAAUCACGGUAUAAUAACAAGUUUAUGUGAAGUAUAACAUAUACAUUCAAAAAUUAAAUAACAACUAUUGAUUACUCACGUCAGACACCAUUCCUUCAAAUUUGUAAAGAUACAAAUAGUGUCUAAACUCUUUUUAAGAAUUUCAACCCUGCCUACGUCCAAAGCUAAUUGCAGUAUGUUUCGAAUAAUUAAUUUAUAAUAUUUUUUAGAAUAAUAAUAGAAAUAAAAUUUAAUUUUGAACACAUAUUUUCCAAUUCAACAAUCUUCCAAAGGGCCGUCUGACCUAAAAUUCGAGAAUUAAGCAGCAGCCCUAUUUUGGUCCCUCUUUAAUUAGUUAUUUCCUAGUAAUUCAUUUUAUUUGUCGUGAAGAAGACCUUUUGUCCCUUUUAGUACCAAGUAAUUCCCCAUGUCACUAAAAAUGACGUUUUUUAUUUUUAUUUUGAACAAAUGACAUUUUGUUUUGUAAUGACUAGUAUAUAUGAAAAUUCAAUGAGAUUGAUUUAUUAAGAUUUUAAAAAUAAAUUUACAAGAUUUUCUUGAUUGAAUAUAUUAAAUUGAAAUUAUAAUACCCAAAAGCGCUUAAAUGAGAUGACACAUAUUUUCUUAAGAAUUUCAACCCUGCCUACGUCCAAAGCUAAUUGCAGUAUGUUUCGAAUAAUUAAUUUAUAAUAUUUUUUAGAAUAAUAAUAGAAAUAAAAUUUAAUUUUGAACACAUAUUUUCCAAUUCAACAAUCUUCCAAAGGGCCGUCUGACCUAAAAUUCGAGAAUUAAGCAGCAGCCCUAUUUUGGUCCCUCUUUAAUUAGUUAUUUCCUAGUAAUUCAUUUUAUUUGUCGUGAAGAAGACCUUUUGUCCCUUUUAGUACCAAGUAAUUCCCCAUGUCACUAAAAAUGACGUUUUUUAUUUUUAUUUUGAACAAAUGACAUUUUGUUUUGUAAUGACUAGUAUAUAUGAAAAUUCAAUGAGAUUGAUUUAUUAAGAUUUUAAAAAUAAAUUUACAAGAUUUUCUUGAUUGAAUAUAUUAAAUUGAAAUUAUAAUACCCAAAAGCGCUUAAAUGAGAUGACACAUAUUUUCUUAAGAAUUUCAACCCUGCCUACGUCCAAAGCUAAUUGCAGUAUGUUUCGAAUAAUUAAUUUAUAAUAUUUUUUAGAAUAAUAAUAGAAAUAAAAUUUAAUUUUGAACACAUAUUUUCCAAUUCAACAAUCUUCCAAAGGGCCGUCUGACCUAAAAUUCGAGAAUUAAGCAGCAGCCCUAUUUUGGUCCCUCUUUAAUUAGUUAUUUCCUAGUAAUUCAUUUUAUUUGUCGUGAAGAAGACCUUUUGUCCCUUUUAGUACCAAGUAAUUCCCCAUGUCACUAAAAAUGACGUUUUUUAUUUUUAUUUUGAACAAAUGACAUUUUGUUUUGUAAUGACUAGUAUAUAUGAAAAUUCAAUGAGAUUGAUUUAUUAAGAUUUUAAAAAUAAAUUUACAAGAUUUUCUUGAUUGAAUAUAUUAAAUUGAAAUUAUAAUACCCAAAAGCGCUUAAAUGACAUGACACAAGUCUCAUCUAACUUAACCAAUGUCAUGCGUUCGAAUAUAAUUUUAGGUGUAUAUCAUUUACGCGCGCAUAAUAUUUCCGAUUUACACACAAAAAAAAAAAAAAAAAUUAAAAUAUUUACAAAAAUGCAUGUAUCAAAAGGUAUGAAGUUAAUUUUAUUUGAAUUUUAAAAUUAUAAUAUUUCAAAGCCAUCUAAAAUAAAAUAUUUAGUCAAUUGACCGACUUAAUUCUAUUUAAUUUAUUUUACAAUAAUUUUCUUACUUAAUUAAACACCAUUGCUCUACUAUGAUGGACGAAGCCGAAUUUACCUAAACUCUUUGAAGAAAACAAAAAAAAUUCCAACAUAAGUACACGGUUUGUUUGUGGAAAAUGUGUUUAAAGUAGGAUUUCGGACUACACCAAAAUGAUUUCCAAGAAUAUCUGAAAUAAAUGCCUCCAUUAAAUAAAUAAUAAAUGGCCCAAAAAUAUUUGAAGCUUUUCUUUCUAUGUCGAUUAGUGCCACUGCAAGUGUCCAUCACCGUCACGACUACAGUCACAGAGCACUACAUUAGCCGCUUAAGUCAUUUCGAUCCAAUUUCCUUCAAAGGUUUCCAAAUCAUUACAUUACAUUAUCAUUUUUAUCAUUUAUACAUAUCUAUCUAUCUAUAUAUAUAUAUAUAUAUAUAUAUGUCACCUUUAUAUUUAUACUUUAUUCUAUACUUUAUCCUUUUUUCUAAUUCUUGUUUUCUUUAUUCCAGGAAUCAAAUUUCAUCAUAAUCAUUCUUGGUUUCUUCUUCUUCACUAUAUUACAAACAUUUUUCAGUCACUUCAACUUCAACCAACAAUGGCUAUUUUAGAUGUUCUCUUAGGAACGAUCAAUGUAACAUUUUUCUAUGUCAUUUUAAUAUGGGUUUUAUUUGAUAGUUUAAGACAAAGCACACGUAACAAUCUUCAACAUUUCAAACACACACCAACAAUUUUCUCUUAUAUCACUGUUUUUUUCAAUGCUGUGAUUUCCCUUUUGAACAUAGCUUUUGUUUUCUAUGAUUACACUACACGUGGAAUCAUAGGAUUUAACUAUGUUUCUUUUGGUUUAACAUGGGUUUUAGCUACUAUGGUUUCAUUCUAUUCAAUGAAGAAAACACUUAGAGAGAAUAAAAGAUUUCCUUUUGUUCUAAUUCUUUGGUGGUUCUUUGUCACAUUUGUUCAUAUAAUCUCACUGUCUUUAAAACUUGUUAAGAAUUCAAAAUCCAUCAACUUAUGGAUUUUGUUGUUGGAGAAGAAUACUGUUGAAACAGUUUCUUUGCCUAUGUUGUUAGUGAUGUGUUUCAAUGCAUUUCCUAAUGUGUGUGUAAGGGAACAAAGUGAAAUAGAAGAAAGGUUACUUCAGAAAGAGUUUGAAUCUUCUACUUUUGAAGAUGAAGAGGCUUUUGCAAAAGCUGGUGUGUGGAGCAAACUUACAUUUAGGUGGUUGAAUCCUAUAUUUGAAAUGGGUCGGAUUCAGAAGCUUGAACAUGUUAAUGUUCCUUCUGUUCCUCCCUCUGAAACUGCUGCUAGUGCUUCUUCUAUGUUGGAAGAAUCUAUUCGAAAACAGAAGCUUGAAUGCGGUUCUUUGUCAAAAGCUAUUGUUGAUUCUGUUUGGAAAUCAUUGGCCUUAAAUGCUGUUUUAGCAGGUAUAAUCCUUAUAGACUAUAUGCAACAUUAUGUUAUGCAUGUACUCAUUUCUUACUAAUUUGUUUAUUUUAUUUUUAUGUACUUAAUAUGCAACUUUAAGUCAUUCAUAUAAUGAGUAGUAAUUUGUUUAUUUUAUUUUUAUGUACUUUAUGAAACAUGUAGUCAUUCUGUUUUAUAUAUUGUGAUUAGUAAUUUGUUUAUUUUAUUUAUACUUUCAGGUGUUAACACUAUUGCUGCUUAUAUUGGUCCCUUAUUGAUAUCAAACUUUGUGAAUUUUUUAUUGUCGAAUGAUGAUAAUUCAAACAUCAAAUAUGGAUUGAUUCUUGCCUUCAUUUUCUUCCUCGCAAAAACUGUUGAGUCACUAAGUCAAAGACAAUGGUACUUUGGUGCUCAACGAAUCGGAAUUCAGGUGCGUGCGGCACUUAUGGCCUUAGUUUAUAGCAAGUCACUAAUGAUUAAAUGUGGCGGACCAACGCAUGGUAAAAUCAUCAAUUUGAUUAAUGUGGAUGUUGAAAGAAUUGGUGAUUUUUGCUGGUAUGUUCAUGGAGUUUGGUUGCUUCCAGUUCAGAUUAUUUUGGCCUUGGUGAUCUUAUAUAUAAAUUUGGGUUGCACACCUUCUAUUGCUGCACUUGCUGUUACCAUUUUGGUCAUGGUGUGUAACACACCUUUGGCGAAUAUGCAAGAAGGUUUGCACUCUAAGAUAAUGGAAGCUAAAGAUUCAAGAAUCAAAAUGACUUCAGAGACAAUGAAGAACAUUAGAAUUUUAAAGUUGCAUUCAUGGGAAUCGACAUUUCUGCAGAAACUCUUACAACUUAGGGACACAGAGAAGAAGUGGUUGCACAAAUACCUCUACUUAUGCUCAGCAGUAGCCACGCUAUUUUGGGCAUCUCCAACUUUGGUUUCUGUUUUCACUUUUGGAGCUUGUAUAUUGGUGAAAACCGAGCUAACUGCAGCCACAGUCCUCUCGGCUCUUGCAACAUUUCGUAUUUUGCAAGAACCGAUUUACAAUUUGCCUGAACUUAUUUCCAUGAUAACUCAAACAAAAGUCUCCGUCGAUCGAAUCCAAGAGUUCAUAAAGGAAGAAGAUCAAAAUCAAUUCAUGAAUAGGCAUGCUUCCAAAACUUCAACAAUUGCUAUUGAAAUAAAGCCAGGAGAGUAUGCAUGGGAAGCAAAUGAUCAAUUCCUCAAGAAACCAACAAUUCAUAUUGCAGAAAAAUUGAUGAUAAAGAAAGGUCAAAAGGUAGCAGUUUGUGGGCCAGUAGGGUCUGGAAAAUCAAGCUUGCUUUGCAGUAUGCUUGGUGAGAUUUCAUUGGUUUCUGGGGCAGCAACCAAAGUUUAUGGGACUAGAAGUUAUGUACCCCAAAGUCCAUGGAUUCAAUCUGGAACUAUAAGAGAAAAUAUAUUGUUCGGGAAGCAAAUGAAUAAGGACUUUUAUGAAAAUGUUGUGGAUGGCUGUGCAUUGCUCCAGGAUAUCAACUUAUGGAGUGAUGGAGAUUUGACCAUGGUGGAGGAGAGGGGAAUAAAUUUAAGUGGAGGACAAAAGCAGCGAAUUCAACUGGCAAGGGCUGUUUACAAUGACUCGGACAUUUAUUUCCUCGAUGACCCUUUUAGUGCUGUUGAUGCUCAUACUGGGAGUCAUAUGUUUAAGGUUAGUAGUGCUAAUGCUUAUUUUAUUUUAUUCAUUCAUGUAUUUUCUAAUUAACUACAUUUUCAUUCCAUUCAAAAAACUUACAAAGAAGUGAAAUAUUGUGCAGGAAUGUCUAAUGAAACUUUUAUACGAUAAAACUGUUGUUUAUGCUACACAUCAACUGGAAUUCUUGGAAGCUGCAGAUCUUAUUUUGGUAGGAUAUAUUGAACACUUGUGUGUCACUGAUGAUAUCACUGCACCAAUUUGAUUGAACUCUCAAUGAUGAAAUUUAUGCACCUAUUUGAUUGAACUAUCGUCUCACUAGUUAUAUACUUUCUGUCAGGUUAUGAAAGAUGGAAAAAUAGUGGAGUCCGGAAGGUAUAGAGAUCUCAUAGCAUGCCCUCAUAGUGAAUUUGUCCAGCAAAUGGCUGCUCAUGAAGAAACAGUAUGCCAAAUUCCAUGCCGGAAAGAUGAUUCUGUUUGCUGCAGACCCUGCCAAAAAAAUCCAACUGAAAUUGCAGAAGAAAAUAUUCAAGAGAUCAUGUUGGAUUGGAAGAGAACCAGAGAAGAGGAAGCAAUGACUGGUCGAGUAAAAUGGAGUGUUUAUUCAACCUUUGUCACAUUAGCUUAUAGAGGAGCACUGGUUCCAAUUAUUCUUCUCUGCCAAAUUCUAUUUCAAGUUAUGCAAAUGGGAAGCAAUUAUUGGAUGUCUUGGGCUACAGAAAAAAAGGGAAGGGUCGACAAUGUGCAGCUUAUGGGAGUUUUCGCUCUUUUAUCUGGUGGAAGCUCCAUCUUCAUAUUGGGAAGGACAGUUUUAAUGGCAACAGUUUCCGUGGAAACAGCUCAGCGCCUUUUUCAUGGAAUGAUCGCAUCGGUUUUUAGGGCACCUGUUUCAUUUUUUGAUACCACUCCUUCUAGCCGAAUUCUGAGUAGGGUAAGUUUCACUAGUAUUCCCUAUCCAAUAAGAUUAUUGUUAUUAGUUUUAUUCAAAUUACAAUUGUUUUCUUUGUGAUUGUUACAGUCAUCCACAGAUCAAAGUACAGUUGAUACAGACAUACCCUACAGAUUAGCUGGACUAGUCUUUGCACUGAUCCAGUUAUUGAGUAUCAUUGUCCUUAUGUCCCAGGCUGCAUGGCAAGUCAUUCUUCUCUUUUUCGUGGUUCUUGCUCUCUCUGUCUGGUAUCAGGUAAGAACUAUCAUUCUUUGCUAAUGUACACAAACACUACAUAUUAAAUUUUUUUUUUUAAUUUUGUUAAGAUUUUACGAUGCAUGAACUGAAAAUUUCAUGGUUCAGUUCAUGUUAUGAUGAAUCCUAAUUUUGUCAUACAUGUUCGCAUUGCAUGUUCUCACUCUUGCAUUGAUUAUCCUAGUAUUCAAAUGAUGAGGGAAAUUGUGUAUUUAUUUGCAGGCCUAUUACAUCACUACGGCUAGGGAAUUGGCCAGGAUGGUGGGGAUCCGAAAGGCACCAAUCUUGCAUCACUUCUCAGAGUCAAUUGCUGGGGCUGCCACUAUCCGUUGUUUCAAACAAGAGAAAAUAUUCCUGACCAAGGUUAUGGUUCUAAUUGACGAUUAUUCUCGGGUAGCCUUUCACAACUAUGCCACCAUGGAAUGGUUGUCCGUCAGAAUCAAUUUUCUCUUCAAUUUGGUAUUCUAUUUUGUUCUCGUCAUCUUGGUUACUUUGCCAAGGUCUGCCAUCAAUCCCAGUAAGUUCCUUUCUCCUGCGUUCAUCCUAUAAGCAGUGAUAGUUUUUUAAAGUUCAUACAUGUAUGUGAGAGUCAAUUUCCAUUAGAGUAAUUAAGAAACUAGGAGGAAGGAAAUUUACAACUUUUGCGACUCCACAACCAGAAGGGGAAAUAAUUUUGUAGAUAAAUAGCUUUUUGGUAUUCACUUUUUUAUAUCUCUCAACAUUCACUAUAUCCCUAGGCAGUUCGUUAAAGCACAAAAGAAAUUAGUAAGAUUAGAAUCAGAUUCCACAGAUCUUGUUUUAUAUCUUUGUUGAUUAAUUGUUUCCUCUUAUUUUCAGGCUUGGCGGGUCUUGUUGCUACUUAUGGUCUAAACUUGAAUGUGCUUCAGGCUUGGGUGAUAUGGAAUCUAUGCAAUGUUGAGAACAAAAUGAUCUCAGUAGAGAGAAUAUUGCAAUUCUCUAAUAUACCAAGCGAAGCACCAUUAAUUAUUCAAGAUUGUAGACCUGAACCAGAGUGGCCUAAGGAAGGAAAAAUUGAAUUCCUUAACCUUCAUAUACAAUAUGAUCCUUCUGGUCCUAUGGUUCUCAAAGGUGUCACUUGCGUCUUCCCUGGACAAAAGAAAAUUGCAGUAGUAGGCCGGACAGGGAGUGGAAAAUCUACUCUGGUGCAAGCCCUCUUUCGAGUUGUGGAGCCUUUGGAAGGAUGUAUACUUAUCGAUGGUGUAAAUAUUUCCAAGAUUGGUCUGCAAGAUUUAAGAUCAAAGCUUGGUAUCAUUCCUCAGGAUCCAACCUUGUUUUUAGGUACUGUAAGGACUAACUUGGAUCCGUUGGAACAACACACUGAUCAAGACCUUUGGGAGGUUAGCAAUGAAUACUUUCUUCAAAAUUCCAUUAUUGAUAUGCUUUCUAGAACAUAAAAUUUAAUGGAAAGCUAUUUUUUUUAGGUUCUCAGGAAGUGCCAUCUUGCGGAAAUAGUACAGCAAGAUCCAAGGCUUCUUGAUGCACCAGGUAGAAAUAUAUUUGUUAAACCAACUUCAUCUUUCAGGAGUAUAACUUCAUAAAUGCUUCUACUCCACAGUUAGUUUUGUUUUUGUUUUUAUCCUUAAAAACCUGCUAUUGAUAUGAUACACCCGUUUAAUUUGCGCAAAUACCUGUGCAGUGGCCGAAAAUGGGGAAAAUUGGAGUGUUGGACAGAGACAACUAGUUUGCCUUGCUAGGUUGCUACUGAAGAAAAGAAAAAUCUUGGUCCUAGACGAGGCAACUGCAUCCAUUGACACUGCAACUGAUAAUUUAAUUCAGAAGACUAUUAGGGAAGAAACAAGUGGAUGCACAGUCAUUACAGUAGCACAUAGAAUUCCUACUGUCAUUGACAAUGAUUUGGUUUUGGUGCUUAAUGAAGGUACAAAAAUGCACUGAGUAGACAGUAUGCAAUUCGAUAUGUAUGAUUGUAAACUGAUAAUGAAACCUAGGAAAACAUAAUGUUGGAGGGUGUUGUAUCCUUUCAUUCAUAAAUAUUUAACAUGGGAGGUGGGGGCCGAGAAUAGGCGCAGAGUUAGUUUGAAUUUGACAUAAUUCUCACCAAGUGUAACAGCAUAUUAAUGCACACCAUUUUGUAAGCUUUGAGCUGAUAGACACUAUUAUUCUGAUGUAUACAGGGACAAUUGCGGAGUAUGAUCAACCAUCUCAAUUGCUACAAGCCAAUUCUUCUUCGUUCUCCAAGUUGGUGUCAGAAUUUUUGAGAAGAUCAUCCCAAAGUAAUUGCAAAAAAAGAUAAGAGCAUGAGGACAAACAGAAGGGAUAGCAUAGCAGUAGAAGUAACAUACUAUCACACACAAUUAUUGUACAUAGAUAAAAAGUUAGACCGCUGAGCAUAAUUAGUUUUGGCGACGGAUUGCAGCUCAAAAAAUCCUGACUCAUUACAUUACCAAAGAUCAUCUCAAAGUUGAAGGUCAAGUAGAUUGAAGGCUCCUGAUCAGUAUGUCUUAAUUGAUAUUCUGAUUUCACAGGCUUAACCGAGUUUCUAAUAUAACUAAGAUUUUCCUUUUCAAAUUAUAUCCAUCACACAAUUAGUGAUUGUUUCCAUAGUUUCUAUACAGGUUCCAUUCAAAGAUAUUAAUGUUAGUGAAAACUCCUUACAUACAAGAGCCCCGAAGGAGCCAAUAACAGACCUCUAGUUGUUUAAUACCAUUCUUGGAUGUCCAAUAUCAUUAGUCAUAUAUCUUGUGCCCUGAAUGUACAUAGACUUGUGCGUUAUAUUCAGUGAAUGAAGUUUUAAUAAUUUUUUUUUGCAUUAGAUUGGCCGUCUUAUUGUAUAUAUGCCGCCGAUAAAAUACUCCAUAACUAAAUGUCAAUCUCUGGAAUAUAGCAGCAGGCAGCUUAUAGUAAGUUGAACAUCUUAAUCUUUUCUUUUUACUAUGAACUCUAAGCUUGAGUGUUUUUUUUUUUUUUUUUUUAUAGGCUUUAUGCUUCAGUUGUUAAUUGUUAUAGAAAAUUCAUGCAACAAGUUCAAUAUAUUCAAUUUUAACAUUGGUUUAUAACUUACAAGUCCUGAUGAUAAAAAGGCUCAGUAGUUUAGUGCGUGUCUUGGUCAGACAUUCAAAGGAUAAGCACUAGAAGAAACUAAGGCCGGAUGAUCAUCCUCAAUGCAUCGACCAAAGUUAUGAUGCUUCAUGCUACUGAUGAUUCACCUAUUCAGCUACCAAUUGAACAAUAUCAGCACUGCAGUUGCUUUCUUUGCUGAUGUUUCAUCCUCUUCUGGUUUGAUUCUUCCCAUUAGUGCUUCCAUUUGUCUCGGUUUCAAUUAUCAGAUUGUUAACUCUGUUGCAAGUUUUCACAUUGCUAGCUAUCCAGGCUCUUCAUAUUUCACAUCACAUUUGUUUUAUGUUGCAUGAUAUUUCAAUGUUAGUGGUCCAUCACUAUUAAUGUUCAGAAUUCACAACUCUUGUGGACCACUUUAUGAAACUGAAUCCUUCACAACAUUCACUCAACUAUGGAUAUGAUUUUAAAUUUCCUUACAAUUCUAAAAAUAUAUGGAAUGUAGUAACAAGUAAGAAAGUGCAAUUCCAACCAUUAUGGUUCCAUGAUAAAAAGUGUCAACCUUAAUGUGUGUCCUUAGCAAUGUCUUGCUGCAAUUUAUAACCACUUUUGUAGGUUGUUCUGUUGUCCAGUGUUCUUUUUAUAAGCACUUCUGCCGCUGCCUUUGUUCUGCCUCUAUUCCUUUCGCAAAAUGAGAAGUUGAAUGCUUCUCAAACAGAAAAAUGAGAAUUGAAAAACACGAGGGUUUGAUAUUUCCAAUUAAACUUGCUUUUGAAGCAAAAACUACUUUUUGGAACAAACAAAAAUAAUUCCCCAAAUUUAUAACCAAGCCCAAUUUUGGUUGACAAAAUACGUUUAGACAAACAGAAAAUCAAACAUGCUUGUAUCAUAAUCUAGUUUCACUGGGACUAAUAUUGUUAAUGCAAUAUAAUUUGAUUAUUAAUUUUAUAUUUAACUAUUUUGUUGGGUGAAAAAUUAAAUUAUGUGUUAACCCACCUAGCUCAUCAUGCUUAGAGUCUCACCCCCCCAAUUGAAAGGCACAUGGGCAGCAGAAGAGGCCAUGAUCCAUCCAUAUCCAUAGGCCUUACAUCAUGAAAUUUAAUUAAGGCUAGUAAGUCACGUGAAUGAAUGCUGCCAUUAUUUUCUUUAUUUCUUCUUUUGUUGUAUGUGUCCUUUGUUUGUCCAACAUUUUUAGUGUCUAUUUGCAAUUCAUGAAAGGUCUUAGUCAAUGAUGUCAAGAAAACAAUUGAAAGGUCUCAGUCAUCAAUUUAUUUCUUAUUGAAAUAUGUACAACCGAAAUGAAACAUAAUGUGAUGAUUGAACAAUAAUAUAUAAGAAACAAUAUCAAGGAUUUCAUUUCAUUGGAGCUGUGCUGUAAUUUUAAGAUCUGCUACUGAUAUCAUCUUAUUUUCUACGUUGCAAAGUGAAGCGUUUCACUUGGAACUGUAAUAUUAUUCACUUUGCAGGUUGAAAAUAAAAUGAUAUAAGUAGGGAGAAUUUUGAGAUGUGGAGCCUUUGGAAGGAUGUAUAAUUAUUGACUAUACAUAUUUUUAAGGUUUGAUCUACAUGAUUUAAGAUCUAUGUCUAGUAUAUAUAUAUAUAUAUAUAUAUAUAUAUAACGGUUCUGGUGAAGGCUUUGUUUUCAAUAAAAUGAAACUUUCAUUGAUAUAGCAUAUCACUUUAAUUCACUCAAACAGACAUGCAGUGGAUGAGUAUGGAGAAAAUUGAAGGAAAUUUAAGUGCUACUGUUUUGACGGUGUAUCUAGAUUCAUUGGUCGUAGAUGCACAGUCGGUCAUGACGGUGGCAUUUGAAUUUCCUAGUGUCAUUGAUAUUGUCCUCCUUGAAGAAAAAUGAUGCUGGUAUUUCUUCUUCAUGAUAAUCAAACCUAGGAAAACAUUUCCAUCCUAAAGACUUAACUAGGUAGAUAUUGGCAUGGUGCUAGGUUGAAUUUGACAUGAUUUUCACCCUAUUUUGUAAGCUAGGACCUUAUAAACGACUUUUAUGCUUUAGAAAACCAGGUUCAUUUUGUAGAUUAGAUUGGUAGGAUAUACGCUACUAACAAAACACUAAUUUUUCAGCUAAACCAAAAAAAAUGCCAUCGAUUAUGGAAGACAGUGCAUAGAUGCAUAAAGUACGUAUAACCAAGAACAAAACAUAUCGCACUAUUUAUUACAUCAAAAUCAGCCAAGUAAGAAAGAUUUUGAUUGAUUCAUUCCUUCAAGUUGGGCUCGGAGAAGAACUUGUUGACAGACGGCAUCACCUGAGGUGGUUUAUUGCGGAGGAACUUUCUGACUCUGUGUUCAGCAUACGCCUCGCCCUCAGCAUGGUUCUCAAGCACACCUGCAAUUCUGUUCUGUUUGUUUACCCUAAAAACCAAUUGAAUUCAAUAUAUUACAUUCAUCAGAAUAAAACUAGGCUCAAGUUCAAUCUUCAUUUUCUGCUAUAUUUUUUCUUUAACUUGCAUUGAUAUGCUUUGCAUUCAUGUUGAUUCCAAAGAGUUUUUUCAACCAUAUGAAGAAUAAAUUCAUGUUGUCCUGUCGAUCUCCAAUAGGAUUGACUCUGUCUGAAAACACAUAUCUCUCGAUUUUUCUGCUUAAUUUUAAUAUUUUCUACUAAUGUUAAUGAAAUCAAAAUAAAAUAAAAACUUAGCAAAGAGAAGCUCAGAUUUUAGUUCACUUGUUUCUCAUAACCUAGAAAUUAGAGGUUUCCAAAAACCAAUAACAAAUCUACAGACACAUUGAAAGUUGAGUUUUUGAGUGUGUUUGGAUGGGGGAAUGUUUUGAGAGGGUUCAAAUAUUUGAGGUGAAUUCCAUUGUUUGGAUAAUAAUUUAAAGAACUUUUAAAAUGAUGGAAAUUUAUGAAGUAUUUUGUUCAAGUUUUUUUUUUUUUUUUUUGAAUCGGCAAAUAUUAUUAAAUGUCAUCCCACAAGACGCAACGUAAGAUACAAAUAGUGCUGCAUAUAGACGGUACACCAUAACCACCUAAAAACACCCGUGAAGAUAAACCCAGCAAAACACAUCACCACCUAAAACAAACUCCAAAAAAAGAAAGCAAUGUAAACACGUAUCCACCACCGCCUAUCGUCACUACUCACCCACAAAGAACACCCUCAAAAUAAAACUCUCAUACCCCAACACCCAAGCUGAGCCACAUGAUGAAGAACACCUAACUGAAGGAUCACUAGCUAUCACAAACCUCACGACCUACGAUCCACCGAAAUAGCACAACACAAAGCCCAAAAACCAACUUGAGUCAAAGAACUGACUCUUGAUCUCGAAUCAAAAGUGAUCGGCCCACCAGACUAUAGUACCAAAUUAGCAGGGCACCCCUCGCCCCUGGUACACCAGAGAAAAACCAAAUCAAGUCAAACAAAAAUUGCAGCUAGACCCCGACUCCCGAUCUCGAAGCCAAAUGAACCGGCCUAUCGAAAACCAGCACACAAUAUGUAAGACGAAAGACAUGGCAUGUGAAGUUUAAACAACAAACAAAUCAAAAGGAAAAGGCUCAACACAACGUGACACGCACCGUACAAAAACACAAACAAGAGCUAGUGACGACGAACAUGGACCCGUGUAACAGAGGUUGCUUCUAAAGGAAAUCACCCCAACAAGCACCCGCCUCCUCACUUAAAACACCAACCACCGCCACACAUCAUCACCCGCACCACACUUCACCACCCACCAUGCAUCACCACCCCCACCACAAUUGAAUAACCUCCACCACCACUGCAUCACCACCGCACAUUACCACCACCAUCAUUGCAUCACUACGCCGCCAAAACAUCCUCACCAAGAAACAAGCAACAACACAAACAUAAAUCUAGAGGAGGACGAAAUUCCACAACAAAACACGGGCAGCGACGCCGGUUUGAAGCGGAAGCACAACCCAGAUCAUGACAAAGCGGCUGCCUGUGACAAGGAGAAUGUGUUCGUCGCCGUAGUAAAAGAGAACCAAUGGUGGAGCAAAAACGGCAGAUCUGAAUAACACUUCCCGGAUCCUGAAACCCUUGACCUCCUCACACCACAUCACCACCACCACCCCAAAGCACUGCAAAUCAGCCCAAAUCCUCCGAUAACAACCCACGCCCAAAUCCACCAUAAACAACCACUACCAUUGGCCAAUGGAGAAGCAAACGUACAAAACCUUCCAUCGCACCACCACCACCCACCACCCACAGACUUUGAUCAACACCAUUAAUGUUUGAAACCCCGUUAAUGUUUGGUAAAAUUUUUUACGAAGAUGUUGACAAAUAUCACUACAAUUCCUAGCAUUCAAACAUGUGUUAUCAAAACAUCACCACUCACGGUUUCCUAACCACCACCUUAACCACCACAGUCCACGGUGAUGUAGCUUACACCAGCCACAACCAAAAUCGUCACCACCACCAACCUACAACGACACCACCACCACGUUCAAAACCACCACCGGCGACGGUGGUGCGGCUUACACAAGCCACCACUGUGGAAACAAACAGAAAGCCCACAACAACCAAUGACAUCACUAUGAAUCAUAGAAGUAGAGAGGGAGAUGACAGUUGUACAGAUCUAGAGCAACACGCCAGUAGAGCUACCACCGUUUAAGCCAACACCCAC